UUUCAGGUUCCAGUCAUAAUGUCAUACAAGAACAAUCCUUCAAUGAAAGGAAACGAUGCCGUUGAGGUGAUCAGGGAAGCAUUGAGUCGGGCACUCGUGUAUUACUACCCUUUGGCUGGCAGGCUCAGGGAAGGACCAAACAGGAAGCUUAUGGUGGAGUGCAAUGGAGAAGGUGUCUUGUUCAUAGAGGCUAAUGCUGACGUCACGCUUGCGCAACUUGGGGACACCAUUGCACCCCCUUCUCCAUUCUUAGAGGAGUUUCUUUAUAAUGUUCCAGGCUCUGAUGGGAUUCUUGGUUGCCCUCUGUUGCUGAUUCAGGUGAGUAUUUGUUAGUUAACUGCAUGUUAAUUAAUAUCUGUUUUUGAAUUUCUUGGUGGAUCUUGGCCCUUCUAUACAAUGAAAGUUUCUGAUUGCUGGAAUUUACUUCCAUGGAAUGUUUGCCUCUUUAUGGAUUUGAAGUAGCUAGGUGAAGGUCCAUUACUGUUAAUUUGUACCAAGUGAACUGUGUAUCAAAAGUGUGUGUGGUCCCAAAUAAAACCAGUAGGCGGCAGGCACAAUGGAGGGAGGAUUUGUGGUUGUAAGUAAACACACAAGUGUUCUGAAGUGGUGGCUUUUCAGUUAACUCAUAAAUUAGUUUUUAAAUUUUUUUGUCUAAAUAAAUAAAUUAAUGAUUAGCACAUGUCUCAAUUUUAAUUAAAAUCUGAUGAUGUAUAAAUUUGGUGUCCCUAGCUGUACUCAUAUACAAGACCCUUGCUGAAUCUAUUAUGCGCAAAAUAUCUUGAUAUAAAAAAUUACACUGAGAAUAUGAAGGAAAAAGCCUAGUGAUUAAUUCAAGCUUCUACAAUAUACAGGUAACCCGUCUUUCAUGUGGAGGUUUUAUACUUGCAUUGCGCUUAAAUCACACAAUGUUUGACGCAGCUGGGCUUCUCCAGUUCUUGAACGCCGUUGGGGAGAUGGCACAAGGUGCACAAGCGCCAUCUACUACACCAGUGUGGGAGCGAGAGCUCUUGGGUGCUCGAGAUCAGCCACGAAUUACGUGUGUGCAUCAUGAAUAUGAAGAAGGGAUUGAUGCUCAAGGCUCAUUUCCAAGCACUAACAAGCCAAACAUGGUCCAACGAUCUUUCUAUUUUGGGUCCAAGGAGAUAAAGGCCAUUCGGAAUCAUAUUCCACCGCAGUUAUCAACCUGCACUACAUUUGAUUUGAUAACAGCUUGUUUGUGGAAAUGCCGCACACUUGCACUUAGAAUGAAUCCAAAACAAGUUGUUCGCCUUUCAUGCUUAGUCAGUGCACGCGGUAAGCGCCACAAUGUACGUCUUCCCUUGGGAUAUUAUGGCAAUGCGGUUGCAUUUCCUGCUGCAGUUUCAGAGGCUAAAGCUGUAUGUACAAAUCCAUUGGGAUAUGCUUUGGAGUUGGUAAUGAAGGCAAAAGCUACAGUGAAUGAAGAGUACAUGAGAUCAGUUGCAGAUCUUAUGGAAAUAAGAGGACGACUACCAAAAUAUCCGUUGACAGGAAACUUCAUAGUUUCCGAUACAUCGCGUGCUGGUUUUGGAGAGGUCAGUUUUGGUUGGGGCAAGCCGGUAUUUGGUGGACCUGCGAAGGCCUUGGAUUUGAUUAGCUUCUAUGUUCAACACAAAUGCAACAAUGAGGAGGGGGUAUUGGUACCAAUAUGCUUGCCAUUAUCGGACAUGGAGAGAUUUCAGCAGGAGCUCGAGAGGAUGACUGUGGAGACUGUGCAGACUAUGGAAGAUAUAUAUGACACAAAAUCAGCUAAGAUCGUGUCAAGGAUGUAACAAAUUUUCUCAAAUUUUACAUUUCUAGUGUGAUGUCAAUGGAUUUCGGAAUGUACCAUAAACAUUAGAUGCAAAGGCUUAUGUGUGUGUAUAUGCAUAGCCGCUUCUCUUUUAUGUGCUAUCUCAUGUCAUCAGGUUAUUGUUAUUUUCGCGCAUAUGUAUGCUUGACUUUUUCUAUGAGCUUUAUUCCAACAAAAACUAUUGGUGUUGUAGUUGGAUGACCAUUUUUGGAGUGAAGUAGCGAGAUCAAACUUUCUCCACCGCUGGCCGUGGCCGCAGGGCUGGCCCGAGCAGGUCAGCCGCGUCACUACCACUGGCAACCAGCAGGCUAAACGACGAAGGCCCUUCCCCCAACUUAUUGCCAUGGAAAUCUAUCACUGCCAAAUUCCUAAAGACUUAUUGGCUUAUUGGCCUUCGUAUGAAGCCUAUAUUGCCAGAGGAUUCAUGAGUUUAUUCUUCAAUACCAUAAACCCACCUCCUUUUAGAUCCUCAAUCUAUUUUAUUGAACCCUACAUUGAGAGAGAGACAAGAUCAACCAUGGCAAUUAUUAGGUCUACUAGAUGAUGAUUCUCAAGCCUCCUUUUAAUGUUCAAGGUUGUGUUGAGAAAUUGUAAGGUAAAGAGAUAUGAAAGAUGGGGAAGAAAAGGAAGCUGAGCCACAACCGUGACAGGCCGUGGGGUUGGGGGACUUGUCGGCGAGGAAGGGUUGGGGCUGCUAUUUGUUUUCCUUCAAGUUUUUUAUUUUAUUUAUUUAUUUUAAAGUUGAAAAUGUAAAAAUAAAAAACUUUUAAAUCCAGCUGGUAAAGAGUUUUUUUAAAUAUUUUUAAUAAAAAUAAGAUACAUGGCAAAAUUUGAGUUGGAGUAUCACCACACCAGAUGACGUGGUGAUACGGACCAUUCUAUAAUUUUUCGUUCGAGUGGUACAUGAUCACCUCAUUGUUUGGGUCAACAAUCUACAUGCUUAGACCAGCGCUGGAGGCCCAGGAAGACAAAGCUCUGGAUCCAAGCAAUUUGGGCUUUUUGUUCAAAUUGGAAUCAUGAGCCCAAACCCAUGUCAAAUUGUGGGCAACCACCAGAGUCUACUUUAAAAGAUUUGGGCCAAUUUCCAGCACACCAUCCCAUUUUUUUUAUUUUUUUUUUUAAGAAAAGGGCCAUGAGACAAAAACAUUUGGGGCUGUUUUAUCCACUAAAAAGUCACUAGCCUAGCCUUUUUACACCAUCUAAAUCUCUACCCCAGAAGAUUGACAAAAUCAGAAGAUCUUUUCUAAACAAACCCCCGUGACCACUUGGUGUUGAAAAAGUCAAAAUUUUCAACUAUUAUAGAGAGGUUGAUAGGAAAUUAAUGAAGGCAGGUUUUACAGAAAGACUUUUCUACUUUUACUCAGCCAAGAGAAGGUCAGAAUUUUUAUACAGAGAAGCUUUGCACCAAAACAGAGAUAAGUAGGAAGUAGGGAGUUGUUCAUAUGGAAAAUCAAAACUAACCAUCAUGGUAGUUGAACUCUUACGAAAAGCAGCUAGAAUUAAAGAAGGAUUAGGUUUUCUUUCAAGAAAAACAGGGAAAUGACUGCCUUAGAACUAACUGUUGAUGGUCUACUUGCCAAAAUAGAUAAGUUCCCUUUUCUUUUUUGAAAUUAAAAAAGAGAGAGCUUGUUUUUCAGAAAAAUCUGCCGCCCAUUUUAAAAUUAAAAAAAAUCCAACUCCAGCAUUUCCUAUAAAAGUGAGAGAAGGUGAACAGAGCAAGGGGCAGCCAAAAAAAUCAAUCAAAAAUAAAAACUCAAAAUGAUCACUUGAUGUCAAAAGCCUUCAAAACACUGAAGCAACCAAAAUCUCAUGGAGUCAUAAGAAAGAAGUCAGCUACAAAUCAGAAUCCUUAACUUCAGUUCAGACUUAGAAAAAUAAGUAAUUCAAAACGAGAUUUCUCUCGUUACAAAUUUGGUUCAACAUAAACCAAAUUAAGUAGAGUUCGGGUUUUACAGAUAUGAAAACCUCAACAAAUUUAUGGAGAGCCCUGAUCAAGCAGAACAGGUACCACAGUGUAAUUCCAGCUCAGUAAUCAUUAAGUCCAGCCAUUUCUGCCCCUUCUAGACUGAAGAGGUUCCAAUUCUGCCUGUUCAAAAAGACUUCUAGGGCUUGAAAUAGAUUAAAGCUUUGCCAAACUCGAACGUUGGCAUCGAUUUACAGCUGAAACUUGACAGUUAAAAGUGUUGAUAGUUCAGUCCAGCACAGGUAUAUCCAGUCUAGCCCUGAUCAGAAACAUCUUGUUGAGACCCAAAAAAUUCAUGAUUGGGCCCAAAUAAAUUACCAGCCCGAAACGCCAUUUUAUUAAGAAAAUGCAUAAAAAGGAGGUACUCGAAAACUUGCCACAUGCGAAUUGAAAUUCAUGCGCCAUGCUAAUUCACCAUGCUAGCUCUACGAGCCCAUGCCAAAAUUAAACAUCAAGGAUAAUAAAAAAUUAAAGCACGCCAAGCGACAUGCCAUGCCAAGCAUGAAAUCGUUGUUUCACACCCAAACACACUACAAGCCUAAGUGGGCCCAAGCCACUCAAAAUGCCCGGGGCUUGCUUGAGUGGGUUGUGGUAUGGAUGGUAAUAGGUCGUCAUGAGGCCCAUUGAUGGGACGAGAAAUGGAGGUUCCGGGUUGCUUGGGAGCCUCGGGACCCAAGCCCAUUUCUUAGGCCCAAAUAUAUGGGUGAGCAAAGAGGGGAAAAUAACUCAAUCAAAAUAACCCAACCAAAAUUAGCCCAGUCAAAGGAUAGCCCAACCAAAAGCCCAAUGUUUAAAUAGCCCACUUAUUUAAUGAAGUACCUUAGCCCAUACAAAAUUCCACAACAAGCCACAAAAGCCUCAGCCCUUUGCUAGAAAAGUAGAAGCCACGUAGAAGAGGUCUGCACGUUCACUGAACAGAGCUGCUGGAAAGUGCCAGCACAUGGGAAUGGAUCAAGUCCCAAAACAAAACACUAGAGAGACCAAGGGAUAUUAGCAUGUAAGUUGUCAGGAAGAGGAGUACCCUUUCAAACCAGCAUAUACACCCAGUCGUUUUCCCUUAUCGGUGCUGGCCCAGGAAGGAGAAGGGAAAGAAGAAGAAAAGUAGCCAAGAGUGGAGCUUCCUACUGAAACAGCCGCGGGAAAAGGGGUCUUGAGCUCCAAAACUCCUGAUUUUGUGCAAAUAGAUAAGGGGAAAUCUCACCCAGAUAGGAAAGUCAAGAGAAGAGAGGAAAAAGGAUGGAAAGACUUGCCAAGAUUGGGAAGAAACCAUUAGGGUUUCUUGGGAAAGGAUAGUUUCCCGCAGCUAUAAAAGGAGGUCCCCUCCACCCAGCAAAAACCAACCCAGGCUGAGAGAGCAAGCUUCCUCUCUUACUAGCAAAACCCAGUAACCUUAUUCGCCCUUUCUUCUUCAUUCUGCUUUGCUUGACAGAUUAUUUUCAGAAUCUGUUGAACUGCCGGAAGAAGCGAUGUUCAUCUUUUACCUCCUUCCAGCCAAGAUCACCAUGCAAAUCUGGUUUCCCUCAGUUUAAACACUCCCAUUUCUCCUUAAGAAGCCUUAUUUUCCUCUUUGGUGCUCAACUCAUGCUGACCCUGCUCCCAUGCCACAAUUUCCUCAUGCUAAGCUAAAACUUUAUCUGUAAGCAAGCAUAAAUCACCUGUAAGCAGCCAUCAUUUUCAUUGGUGAAGGUAACCAGAACACUUCCUAAGGUUUUGCUGCCCUUUCGAAGUGCUUUUGGGGCUUAAUUUUCGAACUCAAGCACAGGGGGUAAUUUCAGUAAUUUCCCUUUUCUGGCAGCCCAACCCAUUUACAGCUGCUGGAAGAAAAAGACCCCCACACAUCUAUCCAGGCAGAAAUGGAAAUCUAGCCCUCUUUUUGUCUUUUUUAGAGUUGGUUUUCCUUUUUGAGCGUUGUAAAAGGCAGUUCUGCCUAAAACAGUUCACUUCCUUAUCAUUUAUUCUGGCCAGAACUACCAGUUUUGUACUGUGAAAAAUUAUGAAAUUCUCACCAGUCUGAGGCAAGAAAAGAACUUACUUAGGAGAUAUUCCUCACCCAAAUUCACCAUCGCUUGUUUAGAAAUCAGUAACUUGGGGUGCAAGUUUUCUAUUUUAAAGAAGUCUGUUAGGAUUUUCAUUGCUAGCAGUGGCACGCUCACACACUAAAGAAAGUUGACUUGUUGACUUGUUCAUUGCUAGCAGUGGCACGCUCCUCACCUUUAGAUUUGUACAACAGUUUUAAGCAUUUACCUUGCGCAUGAGAGCGAUGGAAUAAGAUGCUAAAUUAUGAAUAUGGUUUGAAUACUUUGGGUUGUUCUUUAUUCUUCUCCAUAAGGAGGUAUAUAUAGGAGUUUACAUAUGAAUGUUUUACAAGGAAUUAGAUAUAGUAAAGAAUUAGGAAAGUAUCUCCUAAUUGUAUAAUGAUUUAUCACUUAUAUAAAAAAUGGGAAAGUAAAUCCCUUAAUUAAUUAAGGAAGUAAAUCUCCUUGAUUAAUUAUGAGACUCACGUCAACACUCCUCCUCAAGUUGGUGCAUAUAUGUCACGAAUGCCCAACUUGGUAAGUGAGUCAUGAAAUACUCUUCCACACUCACAGCAUAUGCAAUCUUUGAUCUUGGAGGACGUAUGAAGAGUAGAACAUUUGGUGGUGGUGAUAGAAGAAGGAGUCUGGGUUGACCGCAUGCUUCUGUGAGAGUUUGCAAUAAGAUGGAGAAUCGUAUGGGUUCUUGGAAGUAACAUGUGAUAUGAGAAGGUGAGGAAGGUGAUGUGAGAAAUUUGAUGUAAGAAUUGGAUUUAAGAGGUAUGUGUAUAAGAUUUGAUGGUAUAUGUUUAGGGAUUUGGAUAAGAGGAUUUGAGGACUUUAGAUUUGAGGGAUUUGGAUUUGGGGAAAAAAGAAGAAGCGGAAUUUGAUUUAGGGUUUUGGAUUUGAAUAUGAGAAAUUUGAAGAAAUUUGAGAAAUUUGAGAUAAGGGUUUAGAGACAAAACAACUUCUCUUCACUCUCCUUCUCCCCUUGAAGAGAAGGGGUCGUCAGAAUCAAGAAAUAAGCAAUAUCUUCUUGGGAUACAUCAAGAAAGGAGCGUCACAUCUUCCACCACAGUGAGUGUAGUUGCGUUCCGGACGAGAGCUUGUGACUUGAGUCUGUGAAGCACCAGUGGUAAUACGCAUCUCCAUGACUUGAGACCAUAAGGCAUAAUUGGUUUCAGUCUGGGUGACGCUAUUUUGGAAAGGAGCGUUGUCACUAUGGAUAGUAACAAUUUGGGAGGAUGGUGGAGUGGUGUCGGUGGUGUUGGAAGAGGAGAUGACAUCCAUGGUAGCGGAAGAAUUUUAAGGGUAAAAAAAUAUGUGUUUUGGAAUUUGAAGAUAUGAGGGAUGUGGAUGGAGAUAUGAAUUUGGUAAAGAGAAAUAUGAGUUUGGAGAAAUUUGAUAUGAGAAUUUGGAGACAACCGAGAAUCGAUUGCUCUGAUACCAUGCUAAAAUAUGAAUAUGGUUUGAAUACUUUUGGUUGUUUUUUAUUCUUCUCCUUAAGGAGGUAUAUGUAGGAGUUUACAUAUGAAGGUUUUACAAGGAAUUAGAUAUAGUAAAGAAUUAGGAAAGUAUCUCCUAAUUGUACAAUGAUUUAUCACUUAUAUAAAAAAUAGGAAAGUAAAUCCCUUAAUUAAUCAAGGAAGUAAAUCUCCUUGAUUAAUUAGGAGACUCACGUCAACAUAAGACAUUCGUGCCACAUGAAAUGGACGUCAGUGAUGUUAACCCACAUCUAACUACACGAGACAUAUACGUGGCCCUUGUAUGAACAGAAUUGUGCAAACUAUUUCUUUCUCCAUCUAAAAUGUGUAAGGGUUAUAAUCAGUAUUUACGACGAUCAUCAAUUGUCUUCAUUUUCUGUCAAGCAGUUCAUGGACCAGUACACAUUGAAUUUAUAGUUGUAGCUUUCACUAAAUUAGUCACGUCUAAGCGAUAAUACUGGUGCCUGCAACAUCUUAAAUAGCUAGCUAUAUGUGGUCCUUGUUUUAAUUGCAAGGAUUGUCCAAUAUUCAUACAAAAGGAUUUAACAUGCGUAUGUGGUCCUUGUUUUCUAAAGAUAUCUUACUUGUGUGUAUCUGUUGUAUGUAUGUAAGCUUUCAAGUGUUCAUCUUAUCUUAUCUAAGGUCCACAUAUUUCUUAACAAAAUGUGGAUGACAUGAACCCAGAAAUUACGAACCGUCAUUAUAAGCUCAACUUAUGAUAUAAACCAUUUGUACAGCAGCUGAAGCUCUUGCUUGUCGCUCGAUUGCUCAGAGAGGGGUCAUGCUUAUUGCUACUGCUCAUGGACAGCAGCUUGAGAAUAUACUAAAGAAUCCUACUCUAUAUGUUCUGGUUUCUUCUGAUCUCUAUAAGAAACUCAAUGUGGAAUUCUUCAUGCUUGAAGUCCUCUUAAGACAUUGAGAAAUAUAUCAUUAGUGAAGUUAGGGCUCGUCAAUGGGCUGGGCCGGGUUUUUUUAGAAAAUUCAAAGCUCAAACCCGACCCAUGAAUCGGACUUGAGAAAGCCCAUCGGGCCGGGCCGGGCUAAGCCCAACAGGCCGGGCCUAAACCGGCCAACUUCAUUAAAAAAAAUCAUAAACUUAAUCAUAAGGGCAUUUUAGUCCAAAUUUGAGAUUAAACUCACUUAAUUCUAAUAUUUUCACAUCAAACCAAAUUCAUAAAACACCCAAUAAAGUCACACAACUUAAUAAGAUUUUUCACAAAAAUAAUAAAACCAAGUAUUAUUUUUGAGGUUAUUACAUAAUUAGAUCGUAAUAUGUUUUAAGAAAUAAUUUUAAAAAAUAAUAAGUAUCAAAAAAAUAUUUUUUUUUUAAAGGAUGGUAUGAAUAAAUAUGUAAAUAUUUGGUGAUGUGUUUAAGAACAGCAUGAUUAUAUUUGGUGGUACGAUUAUGUUUCGUGAUAUGAUUAUAUUUGGUGAUGUGAUAUGUUGUUCAUCUUAUAUAUAUAUAUAUAUAAUUGUUGAAUUAAUAAUUGACACAAAUUAAUGUGCUAAUCAUCCAAUUAUAAACUAGGAAUGAGUAAAGAAAAGUCAAUGAAAUGAAACAAAUUAUAUAUGUGAUUUAAGUGAUAUAAUCCUAAACCUAAACUCUUAUUUAUACAUAAUUAUAUAUGUAUGCGGGCCUAACGGGCCAGACUUUUGUGGGCAGGCCGGGCCGGGCUUUCUUGGGCUUAAUCGGGCCGGGCCGGACUUCAGACACCCAAGCCCAAGCCUAGCCCGGCCCAAGGCAGGCCGGGCCAUCUCAAAGCCCAUAACGGGCAAGACCGGCCAGGCCCCCAUCGACCCAUGAGCCUGCGGGCCAAAUGAUGAGGCCUAAGUGAAGUGGCUCUUGUUAUACAACAUCGUAAAUAUGGAGAACACGAUACCAAAACAAUCAAACACUACAACGGGUGAAAAUAUUCAAAGCUAAAUAUCUUACAGACAACAGAUAAUAUAGGAGAAGUGAAGUGCUUCUCCUUAAAGGCAUCGAAACUUUAAAAAAAUCGAUGCUUAUAACAUAAGUACACUACAAUGUUUAAGAAAACACUUAUGCUAAAUUUAUUAUAGACAUCAGAAAAUAAAACGUAGGUGAAGUUGUUCUUUUGAAAAGGCAUUUGUGGUGUACAAAGAACCAUUGUUGUUGUCGUCAAAGACAUCGGAAUUCAAUAUAAUUUGGACGAAAUCCAACAACUGAAGCUCAUUAAGGCAUCAUUUUGGUUGAAGAAACCGAUGGUUUUUUAAAAGGCAUAAGUUUUUCCUCGAUGCCUAUUAGCCUUUUUGUAGUAGUGUUACCUACCGAAGUGUAUCAUCCGUAGAACAGCCAAUGGCCAUCGAUUUAGUGGGUCCCAUGUAGAUCACCGAAUUCUUUUCACAAAGAAUGAAAGGCGCCGAGGGAAAAUGGGUAGACAAGCUUCCCGAAGUCCUAUGAGCUUAUCGCACUACCAAAAGGAGAUCAAUCGGCGAAAUCUCAUUUUUCUUAGCCUAUGGAACUAAAGCAAUCAUUCCUCCUCAUAUCAUUGUUCUAUCCAUGAGCAUCGAGAAGGGCAUCAAUAAUCAGAAUUUCGAGCAACUGAAGACCAACCUUGACCUGCUCAAUAAAGAACGAAAACAGUCCAUGUCCUACUACCACAAAGGAGAACAGCUUAGUUCCUAACAGAUGACUGAGUCCACUCCACUUCAGCUCAAAGAAAUUCAAUUUUUCAUUCAAUGAAGUAUUCGAGAAAAAUAAACCCUAGGCACAAGAAGGCCCUUCAAGUAAGGGUAGGCAAAAAUAACCCUUAAUAUAGGAAGGCACCCUUUAAGUAAGGGUGGGUAAAGAUAACCCUCUGAAGGCACUUUUUACGUAUAUGGUGGGUAAACAUGCAUGAAGCGUCCUAAAGGAGAUACAAGCCAACCAAGCCGUCGUUCAUAAGCAGCAUCCUAAGAGAGACACAUGACAACACCCAUGAAGCAUCCUAAGGGAGACACAGGCCAACCAGGACGUCGCCAUAAGCAGUGUCCCAAGGGAGAUGCAGGGCGACAACCAUGAAGCAUCCUAAGGGAUACAAAGGCCAAACAAGUCGUCGCCUAUAAGGAGCUUCUUAAGCGAGAUGUAGGGCGACAACUAUAAAGCAUCUAAGGGGGACGUAGGCGAAACAGAUCGUCACCCAUAAGCAGCAUCCUAAGGGAAACGUAGGGUGACAACUAUGAAGCGUCCUUAAAUGAAAUGUAGGCCAAACAGGUUAUGGCCCAUAAGUAGUAUCCUAAGGGAGACACAUGGCAACAAUUAUAAAGCAUUCUAAGGGAGACUCAAGCCAAAUAGGUCGUCGCUCAUAAGCAGCGUCUUAAGGGAGACGUAGGGCGACAACUAUGAAGCAUGCAAAGAAUUGUGAUAUUGAUGACAAGGUAGGUAAGCAAUCAGGGAAGGAAACGGGUGAGGUAGCAUACAACGAACUCUCAUUUCUCCUAGCCUAGGAGAACUUCAGGAGAGGUGGUCGUCCUUAUAGUUCCCUGAUGUUGCCGAGAUGUAAUUAGGGAUAGUCUUGCUUCCUAAAUGGAUGAUCAUAGAUAGUUUCGCUUCUCAAGCACAUCGAAAGCUCCCUGAUAGGGAAAACAAGUAGAUAUUGCAUCACUAGAUAUGGAGAAAAACUGGAUGUUUUAUGCAAAAAAAAUUAAAAAAAAAAUUGUUAGUAACAUAUUUAUACACAAAUUAGAGAGUCCACCCUUAAAGUGCCAACGACCAUUGAUGAAGGCAGCGUGAAGUUUUGAAAUCUAAAAAAGAAAAAGGGAAAUAUUGGGAUCCGAGAAUAUACUAGGAUCAUGGAACCUUUGCCACAUUUUCGCCUAUAGAUAUUGCUUUUGUAGGGCUUGAUUGGAAUAACUGUGUUUCAACUCAACUUCCUUCCUCUGAAAAUUCAGCUUUUCUAGAACUUUCUUCGAAACCUUUUAAAAUGGCUUCCUUUUCUUCUCACCCAAAACGUUUCGAUUUAAAUGUUUUUUCCAAAACAACUCGUGAUGCCAAAGUCUGGCGUCCAUCCUUUGUAUCCCAAAAUCGUCAUCUUACGGUUAAUGAUUCCAUGAUGAUGAAUGAUACAAUUGUUAUCAUUGUAGCUAGGAAUUUCCUUACUCAUAUGGAUGAAAUACUAUUAAUAGGAAGGUCUGACGAAGAGGCUAUUGAUGAUUUAAUAGCUUUUAGCAUUCAAAGUGCUGCUUCUGUUUCUAACAUGACUCAUUGUUUGCGUGCCAUAUCAAAUGAGAUUCAGGAGCUGAGUACUGAAAAUUCAUCCCUUCGGAGAAUGUUUCAUGAUUCUCAACAGGAGGUUGAAAACCUUAAAAAGGAAAAUAAGGCUUUGUUGAAACUGGUGAGUUCAUACUCCAUUGAUACGCAGACAAGGCUUGACAUGCUGCAGAUUUCCAAUGAAAAGAUUCUGGAAAACCAAGAAAGGCUCAUGGCUAAGCUCAAGAGGGGCUGUUCUCUUUCUCCAGAGACUUCCAGAUCAUAAUGGAAUUUUAUAGAUUUUACAGAGCCUGCUCCUUCCUUGUAGGUGAAAAGAAUCUAUCUGUUGUAUGCUCUUUGCCUGUUAUAAUAAUUGGGCAAAUUCUUAAACUUGCACCUGUGGUUUGCAUGCCUUUUCAAAAUGACGAUUUUGAACCUCGUGCCUUAUGGGUUCAAAUAACCACAUCAAAUCUCUCAAAUUAUAUAUUUCAAUGCAUGUGUGCCCGAAACUUCUAGUCUAGGUUAAACACAACCUCAUAAUUUAAUUGCCAUUCAAAUGGGCAUGAAAUAUAAAUUGAGGAAAAGCCAUUAUAAUAUUGCAAUAUAGUAGUGAAGAGCAUUAAAUAUUAUAUGCCCAAGAUCGGGAUUUCUCAUAUAUUUGGAUCCAUGGGCUUCCGGCCUAGAUCAUAUAAUAUAACAAAAUAUGUGGAGAGCCUCAAUUCAUUCUUUGAGGUUUAUCCUGAUAUUAUUCAUUUCACGAUAUAUUCUUAACAACCGGAAUUCACAAAAUAUAUUUCUUCAUUGAGGUGUCGAUUGUAACAGAAUCGAGUUUUAUUAAAUUCAUCAUUUUUUUUAUGCCAAAGAAACAUGUGGUUUGCCAUAAUUUACUAUCAACCCUCAAGGAUUGUCUGCUUAAUUGUUGGAACUUCAAGUUCUCAACACUUUUAGAUUUUCAACUUCAAGCCAAAAUAACAUAUUUUCAUGGUAUGGACAUUCAAUACUCUUAAAUUUUGAACUUCAGCCCAAAAUCACAAAUUCUCAUGGUAUGGACAUUUUUAUAAUUUCUUGUACAUAUUUCGAGAUUUCAGGCCCUUACAUAAUUGUUUAUGUUUUGAGUAACUUUUGGCUUCUCAUUUAGUUACUCAUCCAUGAGUUCAAGGGACUGCAUGUCACUUUUUAUAUAUAGUGACGGUUUAUCCAAAAUAGUUACUAUUCAUGCUUACAUCACUAUUCAUGUAUACGGUACUAUUCAUCAAGUCAUGAGUACGUGUCUAUUCAUGCAUACAGUACAAUUACUAUUCAUGUGUAUGGCCCUAUUAACCGAUACGGUACUAUUACAUUAUCAAGGACUUUCAGGUCCUUAUUUACAUGUCAAGGAUCAAGGAUCUUCAGGUCCAAUAUCUUGUUUACAAAUAUAGUACCAGAGAGAUUGACAGCCCUCAUAUCAUUAUCAUCAUCAAGGAUCUUCAGGUCCUGAUAUAGUUGUAUGACGAAGAUCAAUGAACUUCUGGUCUUGAUCUCUGUAUACUGUAAAACUCAUCAUAUCACACAAUUAAUUCAUAAAUUGCUAUAAAUUACUUGUAGAUAAAUUGCUGGUAUGGAUGAUAAGCAUGCACCAUACUUUAAAUAAAAGUAGAUAUAUGGUAAAUAAAUACUGUUGUAUGAGUAAUACACCAUACUGUAAAUAAAGUAAAUAUGGGGAUAAAAUCACCACCGAAUAUAUAUAUAUAUAUAUAAUAUACAGUCCUGAUCUCUUGGACCACAGGAGUCCAAGAGAUUGUGGUCACUCACCGUUGGAUAUUAAUCUAAUGGUUUAAAAAAGUUUCUUAAAAGGAGUUCAAGAUUGAGUGAACCGUUGAAUUUACAUCCAAUGGUGAGUGACCACAAAUCUCUUGGACUCCUGUGGUCCAAGAGAUCGGGACUGAUAUAAUAUAUCAUAUACUUUAUAUAAUAUAACAUAUUAUAUUACCAUCAACUCUCCAUAUUAAUGUCAUAUAUACUAAUAUAUAUAUAUAUAUAUAUAUAUAAAAUCAUAUCAAAAUGUAAUGGAGGAGGAUCAUGAUUGCCACAUGAAAUGGUCGUGGAGGGUUGACAUAUGCCACUGCUUUUCUUCCUUCCAUCAACACAAUGGUUAGUAAUAUAAAUAAUAGUGCAGCUGAGAAAAUUAUACCUAAGAGCUUCUCGUGCUAAUAACAUGUUGUAAAAUGGAUGGAAUAUGUGAGAAUAUUAAGCUACACGUAAAGUAAAUGAGACACAAUAUUUAAUGAAGUUCGGCCAUGCCUACAUCCUCGAAGAGUAGCAGUAGUAACUUUUCCACUAUAUAUGGCUCACUGAUUUUUCUCUCUGCUCUCUUUUUCCUCUCCUCUCACUCUCCCUUUCUUUCCUUCUUUCCUUCCUCUCUGCCCGACUCUCUUUCUUCUCCCAGUUGGGUAUCUCAUGCAAGGGAAGGAUGAAGCCUUUUUAUAGGCAAAGUUGAUAGCUUCCGAUGGAUGUGGAGUCUCCAACAUGUGAAUAUGCAGGUAGGCCUCAUCAUUUGGCCCGCGGGCUCAUGGGCCGAUGGGGGCCCGCCCGGCCCAUCGAAAAAAAGCCUGGCCCGGCCCAUUAUGGGCUUUGAGAUGGCCCGGCCGGCCUUGGGCCUGCCUAGGCUUAGGCUUGGGUGUCUGAAGUCCGGCCUGGCCCGAUUAAGCCCAAGAAAGCCCGGCCCGGCCCACCCACAAAAGCACGGCCCGUUAGGCCCGCAUACAUAUAUAAUUAUGUAUAAAUAAGAGUUUAGGUUUAGGAUUAUAUCACUUAAGUCACAUACAUAAUUUGUUUCAUUUCAUUUACUUUUCUUUACUCAUUCCUAGUUUAUAAUUGGAUGAUUAGCACAUUAAUUUGUGUCAAUUAUUAAUUCAACAAUUAUAUAUAUAUAAAUAAGAUGAACAACAUAUCACAUCACCAAAUAUAAUCAUAUCACUUAACAUAAUCGUACCACCAAAUAUAAUCAUGCUUUUCUUGAACACAUCACCAAAUAUUUGCAUAUUUAUUCAUACCAUCCUUUAAAAAAUAUUUUUUUGAUACUUAUUAUUUUUUUAAAUUAUUUCUUAAAACGUAUUACGAUCUAAUUAUGUAAUAACCUCAAAUAUAAUACUUGGUUUUAUUAUUUUUGUGGAAAAUCUUAUAAGUUCUGUGACUUUAUUGGGUGUUUUAUGAAUUUGGUUUGAUGUGAAAAUAUUGGAAUUAAGUGAGUUUAAUCUCAAAUUUGGACUAAAAUGCCCUUAUGAUUAAGUUUAUGAUUUUUUUUGAAUGAAGUAGGGCCCGUUUAGGCCCGGCCCGGGCCUUUGGGCUUAGCCCACCCCGGCCCGAUGGGCUUUCUGAAGUCCGACUCAUGGGCCGGGCUUGGACUUUGAAUUUUCUAAAAAAACCCGAUCUGACCCGACCCGAUAUUUUUUCUCUCCUCUUUAAAGCCCAACUCGGCCCGGCCCAAAUCCAUUAAAUUUGGACCGGACUAGCUUAGCCCAACCCAUUGACGAGCCCUAUAUGCAGGGAAGGAAUUGGCAGACUGUGCACCUCCGAAGUCUUCAUUGGUAGGCUCCACUUCCUUUCUUUAUAACAACUCAUACUGUGUAGUCAUUUUGUUGCAGUAGUACAGGCCCUCACAGUGUAUGAGAUGGGUCCACUGUGCCCUCUACUGUUUCCGGUGAACCGGUUCGAGCCGGAACUUAUAACACCGGCAAAGCCAACGCCUCUUGAAACCAAGCUGCUGUCGGAUAUAGACAACCAGGUUGGUAUUCGGUUUCAUUAUUCAGUCAUAAUGACUUACAAGAACAAUCCUUCAAUGAAAGGAAACGACGCCGUUAUGGUGAUCAAGGAAGCAUUGAGUAGGGCACUAGUGUUUUACUACCCUUUGGCUGGUAGGCUCAGGGAAGGGCCUAACAGAAAGCUUAUGGUGGACUGCAAUGGAGAAGGUGUAGAGGCUAAUGCUGACGUCACGCUUGAGCAACUUGGGGACACAAUAUUACCGCCUUGUCCUCCCUUGGUGUUGUUCCUGUUUAAUCCCCUUGGCUCUGAUGGUAUUCUUGAUUGCCCUUUGCUGUCCUGUUAUUUCAGGUAUUGGCUUUGUAUUACUUUUUUCAUUCUUGGACUUGUAGCUACUACUAGAUGACGAAUAGAAGGGCAGUAGCGUUCAUAGAAGGGCAGUAGCGUUCUUGGACAGUAGCGUUCUUGGACUUAUAUCUCACGACUGUCACUAAAUUUUAUGUUCCACAUAGCUAUUAUAUUAUAUAUUGAAUUAAACAAUCAAUAAUAUAUAUAUAUAUAUAGGUCAAAAACGAACUUUUGUUUUGUCUGUUGCCUUAGUAGAAUUGGUUUUAACUUCUUUUUUUACGCAUUCAAAAAUUAUUAUUAUUAUUAUUAUUAUUAUUAUUUUAUGAAGAAAAGUUUAGGAGGAGGGGAGGCUACCCCAUCCCAAGAUUAGGGCAUACCAAGACCUCUUUGAGGACUUAUAGAAGGAGUCUUAGCCCAUUUUUUUGUUUUUAUAGGUUACCCAUCAAAAGGGAUUGUGGACAGCGAGACUCGAACCUAAACUUUGAUAGCGAAGAGAACGAUCCUUACCAACUCAAUUAACACUUGUUGGCAAACGAAUAUAUUUUUUUUAUUACAGUAAAUUUCCCCUUCAAAAUAAUUUUUUCUUACGUACAGCCCAUCCUUUUAUUUUUCUAUAAAUUAAACCCAAUUUUUGUAAGUAAAACCAAAUGACUAGGAUUGACCUAAGCAAGUUACCUAAUCAAGCUUAAUAUUUUAAGUGUUGCAUUUUUCAAAUUCCUAAAAUACCCGUAAUUGCAUUAAUGUUUUUCCCAACAAAUUGUUUCCUAUUCAAUGCCAUAAUGGUGUUACAAUUUUGCAUAAGUUUUCUGGUGUCAAGUUUAUUUUAAAAAUGUUGUAAAUGCAUGAGUUGGUGGAUGACCACCAUACCUCUUAAUAUUCCACCGUUGGAUUUUAUGUAACCUAUGCACUAAGUAUUUGUAAUUAAUGCUUGUAACCUAUAGGUAUAUUGUAAAUGAUGGUAUUCAAUCUCCUAUCUUGUAAGCCUAUAAAUAGGUGGUUCUACCAAAGAUUUAGUGGGAAUAAACAUGGUGAAACUUUGUCUUUAGCAUAUCACUUCUCUCUACAUUUUCUCCCUCUAGUUUUAUAACACGUUAUCAGCACGACAUUGCUCUUGGUAUGUUUUCUUUCUCUGAAUUUUCUUUCUUCUUAUAUGAGCUAGAGUCAUCACAUGGUAUAGAGUUUCUUUGUACUCACCAUCAGACUUCAUCAUGCUUGUUUAAGAAAAAAAUUCUUAUUCUUAUUACACAUGAAUAUAAUGCCAUGUUUUUGUUUUUAUUUGUUUGUUUAUUUAAUUUUAAGUAUGAUCUUAAUUAUUAUGAUGAGUUUGAAUUAUACAAAAGAUCAGGGGCCCGAAGUUCCGUGAUCCUCAUCAUAUAACUAGAUUAGGAUAUGGAGUCCUUUUGAUUGAAUCAGAACCUGAAGUUCUUUGAUUCCAAAUAAUUGAGGGCGUGAAGUUCCGCGAAUUUAAAGAGCACAUAAGGACAUAAAACUCCUCGAUUUUGAUUCAAAAUCAGAAUUCCAUGAGGCCUACAUAUGUCAAGAACUUGAACCAGAAGUUUCGCGUGCAUAUACAUCGAUUUGAGUAUGAAGUUCAAAGCACAACUAUUAAUUCAAUUUAUUUAGAUCUACGUAUUCGUACCUGAAGUUUCGAAUAUAUAUUGAUAUGAACCUGAAGUUCAUAGUUUUUCAUGGAUCUUAAUACUAUAUAUGAACUUGAAGUUCAUUACUUAUUUGUGCCUAUAUGAACCUGAAUUGGUUGGGAAUCCAAUUCUUAAACUUGUAGUUUUAUCUACAUAUUGAAUCCACAUUAAUAUUGGAUUAUCUUGGAAUUUCAUAAUCUUUAAUUGAUUUAUUUUAUUCCUUGUUUAUACCACUUUACUUAUUUUAUUAUAUUAUAUUUUAUUUAUGUUAGGUCAUUAAUUAAUUUCGUUUUACAAUGGUAAUGUUUUGUAUUACCGCCCCAAUAUUGAUAGCCAGAGGCGUCUAUUGGAGAAACUUCCUACUUUCUUUUGUGGGUAGGAAGUUUAUGAUGUUAUGAACCAAAAGUUCUUGAGGCCCUAAUAUUACACAACUAUUAUAGUUGAAGAUUAUGAUGUCAUGAACUAGAAGUUCAUUGACCGAAUAACUUUUAUGUUGUGACAUGACUAUCUUGACAAUCCAUGUCCCACAAUGAUACAUAAGAUUUUUAUAAAUUUGUAAGGACAUCGUUUAAAGACUCAAAUUAUUGUCUUGUCCAACAAUAUCAUUACAAAGAACGCUCACAAAUAAAAGCUGUCAUAAGAUCAUCUCAGUCAAAAAUUGACUUUGAGCCAUCUUUCCUGAAAUAAUUCAAGGGGAUAUUUGUGAGCCUAUAUAACAUCUAAUUAUGGAUCACUUCACCAGUUUUACUGAAUGUGCCUACUAAAAUGGUCACAUAUUUGAUAACGACUGUGAGUUUAUUUUCCUACAUUUUGAGACAAUUUUCCCGCCGUUAGGGGGAGAAAUGACAAUUCCUAAAGAACGUCGUGAAAUAGUGUUGAAUCAAUCCGCUUUUGUCUCAUCAAGAUAAUGCAUAUAUAAGUUGUACAUAUGCUAACAUGGAUUGAUAUUCUCGUAUCACAAUCCAUUAACAUGGUGACUAUAUAUAUAAUGCAUGCCUGAAGCAUGUCAGAAAUAUAGGUUCUAAAAACUUAACUCCUCAGAAAUGGAGAUUAUUUGAAAAAUUCAAGCCCUAUAAAAAAUAACGUUCUAUAGGAGGUUAUGAUCCACAUAUUCUAAAUAAUUCAUUGUAAAAGAGAUGUUUAUCCCAUAAGUGACAACAUAAGCCCCUGAAGAGGCAUUGGUACCCCAAAGCAAUGAGAUGAUUAUAAAUUAUGCAUGUGCAUGCACAUAAGAAUUGUGGGAUCACAAAUUGAUGAUACAUUUGGUUUAUUAGUAGCUACUACAAUCAUCAAGGGCUAUGAUUAUAUUAAAUCACGUUUCAUGAAUGUCAACAAGUUAAAUGAUUGGCCAAAAAUGGAAAUAGGCAAUUCCAUUUAUCACUAAAUAAGAAGAGUUGGAUAUUGAACCUAUAACUCAAACACCAAAUUACAAAUGUUCAGUAUGAAGGUUACGAAUUGGUGUUUGCACUACUACAAAAAAGCAAAAAGACGACGGUAAAUCACCGUCGUGUAUUCGGUUUUUCAAUGGUCGUGGAAUCCACCGUCAUCUUUUCCCUCAUAAACCACGACGCUAAAUCACCGUCGUUGUUAAAAUAUACAACGUCAUCAACAAAUACAAAACGACGUCUUUGUACUGCAAAAAGAUCUAAAAAAGCAGUCGAGGAUGAGAAUAGACGACCAACUCUCUAAAAAAACCGUCGUUAAAAAGGAAAAAUAUGACACAUAUUAAGAGAACAAGGCCGCAAGAUAGACAUACAACGACGAAAAUAAAAAUACGACGCCGUUAAAUAUCAUUUUCACGACAAUAAAAAAUUUGACGUCUUUAAAUACAUUAGAAGACGACGUUAUUGAUACCUACUACGUCGCAUAUAUAAAAAUAGCCGUCGUAAAAUUAAUUUUCCACUUCGAUUUUUCGAUAAAAGAUGACGUGAAAAUAGUUGUCAGUGUCAUUAUUUACGACGUAUGUAUUUAUUGAGUAGACAUUGAAAAACGAAACAACGUCGGUUACAAAUAUAUGAGAGUCGUAUUACAAAAUUUAUACGUCAUAUUUUCAGAAACAAACAACGACGAUAAAUAUUAGACGUUGUUAAAUAAAACAACGUCGGAAAACAAUAAAAACAGACGUGUUUAGUCUGCUAAAGUUCUAGAAAAUAGUCGAGGAUGAGAAUAGACGACCAACUCAAACAAAUCACCGUCGUUAAAAAGGAAAAAUAUGACACAUGUUAAAAGAACAAGGCCGCAAGAUAUACAUACAACGACGAAAACUAAAAUACUACGCCGUUAAAUAUAAUUUACACGACAAGAAAAAAUAUGACGUCUUUAAAUACAUGAGAAGACGACGUUAUUGAAAUAUACUACGUCUCUUAUUUACAAACAACCGUCGUGAAAUAAAUUUUCCACUUCGAUUUUUCUAAAAAAGAUGACGUGGAAAUAGUUGUCAGUGUCAUUAUUUACGACGUAUGUAUUUAUACAGUUGACGUUGAAAUGCGAAACAACGUCGGUGGCAUUUAUAUAGUUGACGUUGUAUUUAUAUCUAUCAUCAUUACUCACGACGCACUUAAUAAUAUAGACGACGUUGAACUUCUAAACAACGUCGGUUCCAAAUAAAUGAGAGCCGUAUUACAGAACAUAUAGACGGCGUUGAUUAUGAUGAGAGCCGUAUUACAAAUAACGUCGUUUAAUUGUUAUUAGACGGCGGUUAUAAUGAAUUUCCGUCGGAAUUCAUUUCGUUCCUCUUCGUUUAUAAAAGAACUUGCGACGUGGAAAAUGUAUGAUGACGUCGUAUUUUUUAACGUUCAGAUUAUAUAUCUCGUUUUUUAGACGUCGGUAUUAUGGGAUUGGAGUCAUGUUAUUUUGAAUUACAUGGCGGUUCUUAAUCCUUCCCCGACGUGAUAUCCUGAAUAAUUGCUUCACAAUAGCGUCGUGGUUCUUCAUUGUUACGUUGCUUUAAGACGUCGGUAAAUAUGCUGAAUAACUGGUUCACAAUAACGUCGUGUUUUAUUUGAACGUAGAAAGUGAAGAAAUCACAUUACAAUAUAUUACAAAAUUAAUGUCAUACACUGCCAAUUACAUAAGCAUCAUUCAAUCCAUAUAUCUUCACACCCAUCUCGAAUAUUUUGACCGCCUAACUCACCCACCAGUUCAUCAAAUGUGUCAACAUUUGACAUCCCUCUAGUAAAUGGCUCACACUCAAUUAUCACAUCACCUAAGACUUCAUCACCAAUAACAUCAUUAUAUUCUCUAUUAGGCAUUGAUAACACUACCGACCAACCACGAUGCAUCGGGUCGUCAACAAAAAAUAUUUGUUUGACUUGAGAAGCCAAAACAAAUUGGUCAUUCCUAUGUCCAAUUUUACUCAAAUCUACAAGGGUAAAUCCAAGUUCGUCGACUACAAGACCAGAACUAUCUAUCCAAUCACACCUAAAGACUGGGAUUGUAAACUUUUGGUAGUCAAGGUCCCAAAUUUCUUGAAUGACACCAUAGAAACCCAUAUUUGAGAGAAUUGGGUUUUUAUCCUUGGCACUAGCAACUUGCAUGGUAUGUGCAAGUAAAUAAACUCCACUAUUUUGAGUUGUCCGCACAUCAUCUUGUGCCUUGAUAUUGAAUUUAAUACUUUUAAUAAGAUAGCUCCUAUAUAAUGGCACUGACAUGUUUGGACCAGCUGCUAGCCACCUUAAAUUUUCUGAUACGCCAUGAUUGUCUUCCUCAAGUUCACUUUGGACCUGCGAAGUAAUCAUAUCUUAUUUCAAUCUACAUAUAAAUUAGAAGAAAAUUAAAGAGAAUAUGGUAUUCAACAACAUAUACCUUGAAGCGUAGCCAUUGAAUGAAAGUGCUAUCGGGCUUAUCCUGCAGCCACUUGGUCUCUUCUAAUUUUUGGAUAGCAUCUUGAUGUGGAUCAUAUGUUGNNNNNNNNNNNNNNNNNNNNNNNNNNNNNNNNNNNNNNNNNNNNNNNNNNNNNNNNNNNNNNNNNNNNNNNNNNNNNNNNNNNNNNNNNNNNNNNNNNNNAUAUAUAAGAUAAACAUUAGAGAUAACAUAGAAUAAUUUAAAUGAAACUAAAGAUAAAGCUCAUACGUACUCGAUUAUAAGUAGACUCUCGUAUCUCAAGACAUAUAAGAUGUGCUUGAUUCAACAGGUCUGAUCAACUACGCUCACUGUGCAACCUGAUAAUGGCUUUGAAAGUCCCAUCUUUUGGCUUGAAGGCACUCAACUGUACUAACAUCAGAUAAAUGCUGAGUACAAAACUCUACCGCUUCUUCAGCUAUAUACCGCUCAGCAAUGCAACCUUCGGGACGAGUACGAUUCUGAACAUACCCCUUCAGCACUUUCAUAUAUCUUUCAAACAGAUACAUCCACCUAAAAUAUACUGGCCCACAUAGACGAACUUCUCUGACAAGAUGUACUACUAGAUGAACCAUGAUAUCAAAGAAUGAAGGGGGAAAGUACUUCUCAAGCAAACACAGAGUAACUACUACAUCUUCUUCCAACUUAUCUAGCUUGGAAACAUCAACAGUCUUUGCACAUAUAGCAUUGAAGAAGAAGCAAAAACGAGUUAUUGCAUACCUUGCAGGCUUCUCCAAAACAGAACGAAUUGCCACAGGGAGCAAUUGUUGCAUUAAGGUAUGACAAUCAUGUGAUUUAAGGCCAAGAAGUCUUGAAUCUUGUAAAGAUACAAGAUUUUUAAUAUUUGAAGAAUAACCUUCAGGGACCUUCAUACCAUAGAAAGAAUUGCAAACCUCUCUCUUCUCUGCUCUUGACAAAUUCCAAGGCCCAGGAGGCAAACGAGUACGUCUUUCUCCAUACUCGGGUUGCAAAUCAGUUUUGACCCCCAUGUUCAAUAAAUCUAAUCGAGCAGCAAUCCCAUCUUUAUUUUUUCCAGGGAUCUCCAGCAAUGUACCAAUGAUACUAUCGCAAACAUUCUUCUCAAUGUGCAUAACAUCUAGGGCAUACUCGAGAUCAAAGAAUAUUGAUUUCUUCUUCCAACAAACUCUGUCACCAUUUUCAACCAUAUGCAGCACUUCUUCUCCGGUUAAUGGCUCGGGAGGUAUGCCAUAUUCAGGUUUCCCAUUAAAAGCUGCACGUUGCCUCCUAUAUGGAUGAUUGAUUGGUAACCAUUUUCUAUGCCCAAUGUAACAAAUUUUGUGGCCAUUUUUCAACCUGUGACUAGGUGUAUCAUCGCUGCAUAUUGGACAAGCUUUAUAUCCUUUAACAACACAACCAGAUAAGUUUCCAUAGGCGGGGAAAUCAUUAAUUGUCCACAUUAAUGCAGCUCUGAGUGUAAAGUAUUCUCCAUUAUGUGCAUCAUACACUCCUCUAAUCCCAACCCACAAGGAUUUUAAAUCAUCAAUCAAAGGCUCCAAGUAGACGUCUAUAUCAUUUCCGGGUUGUUUAGGACCGGAAAUCAAUAAGGUUAACAUCAUGAACUUUCGUUUCAUGCACAGCCAUGGAGGGAGAUUAUAUGUAACUAAGAUAACCGGCCAACAACUAUAUCUGCUACUUAGAGAACUGUGGGGAUUGAAUCCAUCAGAUGAAAGAGCCAAUCUCAAGUUUCUCGGCUCAUUACCAAACUCAGGCCAUUUAUCAUCAAGAAGUUUCCAAGACGGGGAAUCCGCCGGAUGAGACAUCUGACCGUCAAUUGAUUUUCUAGCAGCAUGCCACCAAGUCAAACUCUUAGCUGUCUCAUGUGAUUGAAACAUCCUUUUAAACCUUGGAAUUGGGGGAAAAUACCACACCACCUUCGCUGGCACACCCUCUUUCAAGAUUGAAUCUUUGCCUUCCUUCCACCUUGAGAUACCACAAGUAGGACAAUUAGUUGAAUCCUCAUACUCCUUCCUAUACAAGAUGCAAUCAUUGGGGCAUGCGUGCAUUUUCUCAUAACUCAGCCCCAAUGCACACAAAGUCUUUUUAGCCUCAUACAUGGAGGUUGGUAUUGUAUUUCCUUCUGGAAGCAAAUCGCCUUGAAGUAUCAAUAAUUCUGUAAAACAGACAUCACUCAUCCCAUAUUUUGCCUUCAAAUUAUACAACUUCACUAAUGCCGAUAACUUCGUGUACUUUCUACAACCAGGGUACACUGGUUGAUCUCCAUCCCCAAUCACAUUGGCAAACUCAUACGGAUCCGAACCAAAAUCACCAAAAUCAUUAUCAUCCAUAUCAAUUUCUUCAGACACAAAACUGUACCUACUAUGGCCAUCAUCUUCUUCAACAUUUCUACUAGCAUUAGUAGUUGCUUCCCAAGGUUCUCUGUGAAAUGUCCAAUUCUUAUAGCUUUGGUCAAUUCCAUUAAAGUAUAAGUGAUCCCUUAUAAUUCCAACCCCAAACAACUUCAAAUUAACACAUUUAACACAUGGACAACGGAUAUGUGUUGUAGUUAGAAGAUUUUCUACAGCAAAGUUCAAAAAUGCUUCCACCCCAAAUUCAUAUGCCUUCGAUCUUCUAUCCGAGUGCAUCCAUGACUUAUCCAUCUCCGACACUAUAACCUAUUAUCUAUAAUAAAGUGAAAAUACAGGCAAUGACCAUCACUAUAGCAGAUUAUACAAUGAUCUAAUCGCAAGUAAUACACAACAGAGACGACGGGUUUUAAACAAAAACAGACGUAUUUGGCAUAUAUAGACGACGGAUUUUCAACAGACGUCGUCUAUUAUAAGUAAUACAAACGACGGUUUAUGAAAAAACCGUCGUGUAUAAGUAAUACAACGACGGUAGUUUAAAAAAACCGUCGUGUAAUCGUCGUCGUAAGCCUUAAAAUUCGUCGUGUCUCAGUUUAUUUUCAAGAACACAAAACCCAUUAAGAACACAACAUAUAUAUGAAACCAAGCAAGAAACCAACAUAUACAUGAAACCAAGCAUGAAAACAAUAAAUCCAUUCCCAAUUCAACAUAACAUAGGGUGAUUAAAAGAUACGACAAAAUUAAAUCCAUUCCCAAUUCAACAUAACAGAUAAUGUAAUCCANNNNNNNNNNNNNNNNNNNNNNNNNNNNNNNNNNNNNNNNNNNNNNNNNNNNNNNNNNNNNNNNNNNNNNNNNNNNNNNNNNNNNNNNNNNNNNNNNNNNNNNNNNNNNNNNNNNNNNNNNNNNNNNNNNNNNNNNNNNNNNNNNNNNNNNNNNNNNNNNNNNNNNNNNNNNNNNNNNNNNNNNNNNNNNNNNNNNNNNNNNNNNNNNNNNNNNNNNNNNNNNNNNNNNNNNNNNNNNNNNNNNNNNNNNNNNNNNNNNNNNNNNNNNNNNNNNNNNNNNNNNNNNNNNNNNNNNNNNNNNNNNNNNNNNNNNNNNNNNNNNNNNNNNNNNNNNNNNNNNNNNNNNNNNNNNNNNNNNNNNNNNNNNNNNNNNNNNNNNNNNNNNNNNNNNNNNNNNNNNNNNNNNNNNNNNNNNNNNNNNNNNNNNNNNNNNNNNNNNNNNNNNNNNNNNNNNNNNNNNNNNNNNNNNNNNNNNNNNNNNNNNNNNNNNNNNNNNNNNNNNNNNNNNNNNNNNNNNNNNNNNNNNNNNNNNNNNNNNNNNNNNNNNNNNNNNNNNNNNNNNNNNNNNNNNNNNNNNNNNNNNNNNNNNNNNNNNNNNNNNNNNNNNNNNNNNNNNNNNNNNNNNNNNNNNNNNNNNNNNNNNNNNNNNNNNNNNNNNNNNNNNNNNNNNNNNNNNNNNNNNNNNNNNNNNNNNNNNNNNNNNNNNNNNNNNNNNNNNNNNNNNNNNNNNNNNNNNNNNNNNNNNNNNNNNNNNNNNNNNNNNNNNNNNNNNNNNNNNNNNNNNNNNNNNNNNNNNNNNNNNNNNNNNNNNNNNNNNNNNNNNNNNNNNNNNNNNNNNNNNNNNNNNNNNNNNNNNNNNNNNNNNNNNNNNNNNNNNNNNNNNNNNNNNNNNNNNNNNNNNNNNNNNNNNNNNNNNNNNNNNNNNNNNNNNNNNNNNNNNNNNNNNNNNNNNNNNNNNNNNNNNNNNNNNNNNNNNNNNNNNNNNNNNNNNNNNNNNNNNNNNNNNNNNNNNNNNNNNNNNNNNNNNNNNNNNNNNNNNNNNNNNNNNNNNNNNNNNNNNNNNNNNNNNNNNNNNNNNNNNNNNNNNNNNNNNNNNNNNNNNNNNNNNNNNNNNNNNNNNNNNNNNNNNNNNNNNNNNNNNNNNNNNNNNNNNNNNNNNNNNNNNNNNNNNNNNNNNNNNNNNNNNNNNNNNNNNNNNNNNNNNNNNNNNNNNNNNNNNNNNNNNNNNNNNNNNNNNNNNNNNNNNNNNNNNNNNNNNNNNNNNNNNNNNNNNNNNNNNNNNNNNNNNNNNNNNNNNNNNNNNNNNNNNNNNNNNNNNNNNNNNNNNNNNNNNNNNNNNNNNNNNNNNNNNNNNNNNNNNNCCGACUUACAUAUUAAAAUGACGUCGUUUAAAGCGUAAACCAUGUCGUAUGAUUUUCUGUACGACGUUAAAAUAUGUAUUCCACGACAGCAUCCGCCGUCGUUAAAAAUUAAUACCCUAAACCCAUAAAACUAAAUUAUACAAUUUAAAAAAGUAAGUUUAUAAAAGGUUUUAUAGUUUUAAAGCCUAACAUAUACCCUAGGACUACCCAAAAAUUAUACUUUAAAAAUAAACCCCAAUAAAUAACAACCCUAAUCUCUAAACCCUAGACUCUAAACCCUAAACCAUAAAACUAGAAGUGAUUUUAUGACUCAUCAAAACAAUUUUGUUUUGGAUGGUCAUUUUAAAUUUUUGUUAUUCAAAAUGAAUUUUUUCAAGGUUUAUGUGGAAGAAAAUAUAUCAAUGACUUCAUAGGAGAUGACUUUUCAAUUUUCUGAUUUAUUUUAAAUUUAUUUUGAAUAUUUUGAUAUAAAAAUAAUAAAAUAUUCUUACCACAACAACAAACCACGUCGGUGUUAAUAAAUUGUAGACGUUGUAAAUUGUAAUAGACUACUAAGUCGUUAAAAUGAGAAACCAUGGCGGCUAUUUAACUAUACGACGUAAAAUAUAUAUUCCACGACUUAACCGCUGUCGUUACAUAAACGUCGUCGAUGAUACCCUGAACCCUUAAGAAAUUGAAGAUGUUGUAAACCAUAAACGACUCAAUUGUUCAAAGAACGUCGUCUAACUAUAUUUUUACGUCGUAUUUGUUUAAAACACGAAACAACAAAAUACGACGGUUUUUGACUUUAUUAGGUCGUUGGAAAAGUAUUACACGUCGGUUAAGCAAUUUGUAUGUUUGUUUUUUUUUUAAUUUAAGAAAACCUCAACAAAUUUUUACAUUACAUAUUAUAGAGAAAAUUUGUACAUUAUACAUAAAUAUCAAGUGUUCAAUAAUUGCCCUGUUUAAUAAUUUGGAAAACAAACUCUGCCCAUUCAUUCCGGACUUCAUCAAUGGCUUCUUGGGGGUAUGAAGCUUCCUGGUUUCCCUUGGCAUACUGCAUAAACAAUGACUAUUAGGGUUUAUAAAUAAAAAGAAAUUCAAUCACAGACGACGAUAUUUUUCAUAACCGACGUAGUAUAUCCAUUCAACGACGUUAAUUUUACAUGACCGUCGUUGAUAAUACAAAAAACGACGUGAAAUGUAUGAAGGUAAUUUCUUCUUACCUUAUUCUCAAACCCCAAGGAAGGAUCCAUGAUGAUGUCCCUCAUGAAGCGCAUCACAUAAUACCCGCAUUCGACAUUGCUGGGUUGCUUUGGUGUGCCUGAGAGAGUUUUCCAAAUUACAUUUUUACGUCCUGCUCGGGCUAUGUGGGUAUUAUAUAUUUUUAAAGCACUGUUCACGAUAUUUUUCGCCUCUUCGUCGACCACACGAUGACCUGGCAGAGGAUCCAGAAAAUAGACGGUCUCCUUCUUUGCUCUUACAAUCAACAAGAUCCAAUGACGGCUGCACAAAAUUAAUAUAAAAACGACGGUUAUUUACAAAAACGACGUAUUAUAGUAUUUCACACGACGAAAUAAAGUAGAUAACGACGACAUUAUAUAUUUAUCACGACGAUAAAUAAAUACCGACAUGGUUAGUAGUUUCAAACGACUAAAUAAAAUAAAACACCGACGUGGUUAGUUUAUAAGCUGUCAUUUAUUGAAAAUCAUAAAAACAAAAUCCUAAGGAGACUAACCCUGGAUUGUAAGGCAUCAUGAAAAUCUGUUCACCGUCUGUCUUCUGAAGUCGAGCUGCUACCAGUUGUGAUCUUUCAGUUAUUGUGCCAGAGUUGGCACUAACUGUAGCAGGGUCGAUAAAGCCAACCAUGCUGCACAUAUUGGCUUGUUUCAAAACAUCGUGUAAGUACCUAAAUACAUAAAAUAAUAUAAACAAGUCAGCACAAACAAACACGACGGUUAUGUAUAAAAAAACGACGUAUUAUAAUAUUUCACACGAGGUACUGAAAUAGAUGAGGACGUUAUAAUAUAUUUAUCACGACGGUAGUUAGUUAAGACGACGUGGUUAGUUAGUUAAGACGACGCAAUAUAUAAACCAACGAGGUAUUAUUUUAGAAGUACAAACCUCAUAUAUACAGCCAAUACAGUAGCUCCAAUUUCUUCCAUGCCUGCAAAUUGUGUAAUAUCUUCUGGCAGGAGGAAGGUAUCGCGCUCACCACCAAACACCUCUUUAUCAAUUGUAAAUUGGAGUGUCUUAUCCUCAGGCAGGAGUGUCGUUUCCACAAAACGACAAAGGGUUUUUAAAGAAGAUGGCGCCUCCAUAUUUGAAUAAGCACCAACUUCAAAAAUCUGUUUAAAGAAAUAAAAAAAAUGACGUGGUAAUUCAAUAAAGACGACGGUUUAAGGAAUAAAACGUCGUCUUAAAAGUAUUUAAACGACGGUAAAAAAACUGUCGUGGUAAUUCAAUAAAGACGACGGUUUUAUGAAUAAAGCGUCGUCUGAAACCAUUUAAACGACGGUGCAAAAACCGUCGUUUAAAUAUUUUAUUACGUCUUAAAAAAAGUCCGCCGUCUAAGUUUUAAACAAACGACGGAUUAAAUAAAAAUAUCGACGUCUGAAAUUUUGAAAAACAAAUAAAAAAGGCAAAGUUAUGUAAACAUACCUUGUCGUCAUGCUUUUCUUCAUCUUCUUUCUCCUUUUCUUCUUCCUUCUCUUCAUCUUUUUUUUCUUCUUCCUUCUCUUCAUCUGGCUGAUGUUUCCCCAUUUUGGCAGUAUCAUCCUCCAAAUGUAGGGAUCUCACAUCACCUCCAGAGCAGCUAGCUUUGUCAGACAUUGGAUUUUUGGGGCUUUGGCUAAUUCUUGGUUUAAGCAUGCUUGGAUCAAAAUUGGGAAUUAAUUGGGAAAGCUGACUCAGGAAAUGCUCCCUCUCAGCCUCUACCAAUUGUUUUGUCCUAGCCUCCAUCCUUAAGGCCUCUUCCCUUGCCUUAGCCUCCAUCUUUUUAGUCUCUUCUUGAAGGAGAACUCUUAAACUGUCCUUCAAACGGUCGUCAAAGCUCACCCUCUGUGGUUUGGGCAAAUUGAAAUAUUGCCUUGGGGAAACACCAGCACCAACUCCCCUCACUCUGCCAGGAUGCUCGGGGCCCAAAGCCAUGGUCAGCACAUCAUUGCUGCCAUCUACUCUGACUUUGCCUUCCGAGAUUGUUUCUGCAAUUCAUCCUAAAAAAAAAUAAACAAAAAAACACACGACGGUUAUUUAUGUACAAACGACGUAUUAUAUAAUUUCACACGACGCAAUAACGUAUAAACCGACGUUAUUAUAACUUAUCACGACGGUAGUUAUACCGACGUGGUUAUUUAUUUAAAACGACGAAAUGAAUAAACAACCGACGUCUUAUGCUAUAAUUAAAGAAAACAGAGUAGUGAUUCCUAUUUAGACCGUUAACGACGUUUUUAAAAAAGUUUCGACGUGGUAAUAUCAUUCAAACGACGCCAAAAUGAACCACCGACGUCUUAUGCUAUAAUUACAGAAAACAUAGUAGUGAUUCCUAUUUAGACCUUUAACGACGUUUUUAAAAACUUCUCGACGUGGUAAUAUCAUUCACACGACGGAAAAUAUAACAUACGACGUAAUAAGAAUAAUUCACAGUUUAAUAAAAAUUUAAAACAGAGUGAUAGUAGGCUUACAAUUAAUUUUGCUUUCUCUGCCACCUUUGGAUCAGGGAUGUUACCAUGUUUGUCCUGUCUAGCUCUCUUCCAUAAGGUAGAUCGAUCAAUUUCUACCCCAGGCAUGGUUUCCUCCAAUUGAUCCUCCAAUCCAGCAUAUCCUUUUCGAGACAAUCGAUGAUUGUACUCGAGUUUCUCCCUAAUCUGUGCAUGUUGAGAAUGCACAGACUCAAAAUCUUUGGAUAGCCUUGAAGCUACAAAGGCAUCCCAUUGUGCUUUCUCUAUGAAUUUAUAUGUUUCAGGGGGUUGGCUUAAUUUCUCCCUGUCAUUGGUGUAUGGAAGGAUAUAACGCCUCGUUAGUGUAGACUUGAAAUCCUUCCAUUUCUUGGAAGCAGAAGCUAAAACAGAGGUCUUGCCCCCUUGGCCUACGACAAAAGCCAUGUCAACUGCUUCCCAAAUCUGCUCCUUUAUAUCCUUGGGGAUUUGGGACCAUUUCUUGUCCACAAGUGGGAUCCUGGAGCGUGCCAACACACCAAUAUACGACUGCAUCUCAAUAUGUGCUUGGCCAACACCUUUCCCCCUUUUAUUGUACUCAACAAUUGGCCUCAGUUUCUGAAGCUUUCUCUUCACAACACAAGGCAUUGUGCUCAUACCUCGACCAGUCUUUGAAUCAUCAGAGAUUGUUGUCUGGCUGGUUGGUUCUGUCUCAGCAGAUGAUGAAGCAAACUUCAUCUUCUUCGAAGACUUCAUCUCCUUCGAAGACUUGUCUUGAGGAGCUACCAUUCCAAGCUUCUUGGAGCCAGAAUCCUUAGUUUGUUGUUGAGAAACCAUUUUAACAGACAAAACUGCAAGUGAAAAUAUUUCAGGAAAACAUUAAGAACACAAACGACGGUAUUAAAAAAAUACGACGUAUGAUAUGAUUUUAGACGACGCAAUGAAAUAAUCUCAGACGUAAUAAAUGUUUAAAACCAUUAUUUAUAUAACGUCGUGGUAUAUAUGUUCACACGACGUCAAUAGUAAUACACCGUCGUGGUAAAACUAUUAUUUAUAUAACGUCGUGGUAUUUAUGUUCAUACGACGUCAAUAGUAAUACACCGUCGUGGUAUUAACAUUCACACGACGUAAAACAAUAAGAUAUUUUGUCGUCUAUAUUAGAUACCAACCCUAGUUUCUUUUUCUUUAUAUUUUAUCAAAUAAGGGAAAAACAAAAACCAUUGUUCAGAGAAAUCAAACCUGCAAUUAAACAAGCAUAUAAAAAAAGACUAUUAUUUUAAAAACAACUUUGUCAAUUUUCAGACGACGCUAGAACAACUGACGAACCGUCGUGGUCUACCGUCGUCUUAUUUAGUUGAGGUAGUUGUCUUCAAAGUUGGAAACUUUCCCUCUUUGUCUGUAUAUUUUAUCAAACUUGGAAAGAAGUAAAAUGAUUUUGGCCAGAAAAAAGGUAAAAAGAUUUUUCAAACAAAAAACGUAUGAGCAUGCAAAACAGUAACCAAAAUAGUGAAAAUGAAAGCUUACCUUUUGCGUGCAAUGAAAGCAAGAGGAAGAUGAUCGAUGUUUAAGUUCAGAGACGACGAAGAAGACGAGAGGAAGACGAUGAGAAACUCUGACAAUGCUCUGACAAGGAAAAAAGACGAAAAGGUUUCUCUAGGAGAUUGAAAUUUUUAAUCGGGUUUGGAAACAGUGCAUGUGUAAGUCGAAAAGUUGCUUACAUAUAAAACCAUUUCAAAAAAAAUAAUACGGCGGUUACAUUUAACUACGUCGUUUUUAACUAACACGACGCAAUAUUUUUCGUUCGACGUGGAAUCAUUUCAUUUAACGUCGUUAGGUUUAAUAUAACCGACGUGGAUUUUAAUUUUUAAAUUAUGAAUAGAAUUUUUUUUCCCGUGACCUUUCAGUUUAUUUUUCAAUUACAGUGCGUUAUAAAUAGAGUUUUUUUUCCGGAGGAAAUUUAAAACGAAGGAAAUUAAUAUUCUUCAAUAUGUAAAAUUUCUUUUUUGGAUGACAGAUUUAAAUAAAAUAAGAAUAUAAAAACAACUAAUGUGUAAGUCAAGUAGACGAAAAGUUGCUUACAUAUAAAACCAUUUCAAAAAAAUAAUACGGCGGUUACAUAUAACUACGACGUAUAAAUUACAAAAUACGACGGUACAUUUAACUUCGGACGUGGUAAAUAAAUACGACAGUAGUUUGUAGGUACCGUCGUAGUAAACUCAAAAAUUAAAGUACAUAAGUAAUAACUCGCGUCAUGGUAGAUUAUUUAACACGUCGUUUUUAUUAAUUUACCGACGUGGAUUUCUGUAAUAUACGUCGAUAAUACCGACGCUGAUUUUACAAUUUAAACGGCGGUUUUUUUGUAAGGACCGCCGUUGGUUUUAAAAAUUUAUUCUAUAAAUUUGUCGCUUUCAUUCAUUUUCGGUUUACAUUUAAGGUUCCAAGUUCUUCCUCUCUCAGUCUCUCAUGUCUCAAAGACAAUAAUUUGGAUGUUUUCUCAAAGAGAAAUUGAGCUUACUCGCAUCAAAUAUAUGUCCACAAGAAGAAGCUUGUCAACUAGCCUUCUCACUUCCUUGAUCAAGCCUGAUAGGACACUUAGUGCUUCUGAAUACUCCUUGCUUUCCAUCAAAAGAGAUGCAAGCCUGGCCUCCACUCGCUGUCGAAGGAAAGUUCGCUUCUCAGGGAAAUCUGAAGAUCAGAUGUGCCUGAUCCUCUGCUUGAUUUUCUUGCCUAAGAAGAUCCGUCGGAUUUGUGAUAGCCUCUUCCUUUAUCCGUAGAGCUUCAGAAGAAGAAGAUGGGUUUCAAGAAUGCGAUAAAGAAUAGAAAUGGCUUCAGAUGGCCUCUAAAGCAUGAGCAAUUGAAUCAGUAGUUUCUGGGAGAUAUGAUGAAGACAUUGUCAAUGCUUUGAACUAUACAAGUCCUGCAGAAAGAUAUGUUAAAGAAACUGAAACAACGGCGGUUUUCUGUUCUACCGUCGUCUUUUCUCGUCGUCUAUAUUAAGUUAAGAUGGCGGUAGAUUUAUAAUUACCGACGUAGAUUAUUUUGUUAAACGUCGUUAAGUGUACUACAACCGACGUGGAUUUUAUUUUUAAAUUAUAAAUAGAGUUUUUUUUCCCGUAUUCUUUCAGUUUUAGUUUUCAAUUCCAAAGCGUGAUAAAUAGAUUUUUCUUUCCCGAGGAAAUUUAAAAUCAGGGAAAUUAAUGUUCUAAAAUUUGUAAACUAACACGACGCAAUAUUUGCAAAUCUGUGUCAUCUGUUAAGAUUAUGAUGUGGAACAGAGUUCCAUCUGGUAAGAUUUCGUAACCCUUGGGAUCUCAGACAAAUCUGAUUAUGUCGGCGGUGUUCUAUAUAAACCGUCGUGGUUAUUUCAAUUCUUGUCAUUAAGUAGAUCUACCGCCGUAGGAUAAGAAAAUCAAAGAAAAAAAUUGUUAACAAAAAUUCUUAUUAAGACGACCGUUAAAAUUAAAGGUACGACGUAUAAAAUGAAUAAAUACGACGUUAAAUUUUAUUGUACGAUUUAAAGAUAACGUCGUAGAACUAUACGAGAAUGACGUCGAUAUAUUUAUAUUUUCCGUCGUUGUAAAUUAAUUUAAUACGGCGAUAUUUUGUAUUUUAAAGCCGUGGAUUUGUUUGUAAUUAUACGGCGUCUUAUACGAAAACCUCGUCGUGUUAUUUUAUGAGUAAAAACGGCCGUUUUUAUUGAAAUCGUCGUCUUUACUUUCUACGUCGGUCGAUUCAUAACUUCUGCCGUUCUUUGUUGGCAUUGAUUUUACACUGCGGAAAUCUGUUUCAAAUAGACGUCGGUUGUUUAAUUAUGUACGUCGUUGUUUUUGAACAGCCAUUUGAAUCUCCAUUUUUUAGUUGUCUAAGGUUGUAUUACACGACGGUAUUUUUAGAACCGUCGUCUUUUUAUAAACCACGACGGUUUUCACUUAGACCGUCGUUGUUUUCUGGUCGUCUUUUUCACUUUUUGUAGUAGUGUUGUGAAGUGAAAUAAGAUCACUAAUAUGACAUAAGGUUUUCUGGGAGAGACAUGUGGUUUUAGUCUCCAAUCUCAUCGUAAAUGCAUCCACAUUUCUAUAAGUGCGGUUGUUACUUUAACGCAAAACUUAUAGUAUGUGUUAAAUGCAUAUUUAUUAAGACUAUAUGGUACAUGGAAAUCCUCAAAGCUCAUGAAAUAUUUGAGAUAUAUCGGAUGAAGCAACCUCUUGAAAGAUAUAAAGUACCACACUAUUCUUAAUUAAGAGUUAACACUAAGAGUUUGAGUAUUUUGAAUUCAAAUUUGAUAUUGUUGUAACAUAUUCUAACUACUAAAUUAGUUGUUGAUACUCCUAAAGAUUUCAAUCAUUUGAAAAGUGAAAAGCAGGUUGAAUAGUGUGAUAGAUGAUCAUGUAUGAAGACAAUGUUGCUUGUAUUGCUCAAAUCAGAGAAGGAGAGAUAUUAAUCAGGGGGAGAUAUCAAUCAGGGGGAGCAUCCCAAUUCUACUACAUUCAAGGCAGAUGCGCGUUGUACUCUUUUUCCCUUCGACUAGGUUUUUGUCCCACUAGGUUUUUCCUAGCAAGGUUUUAACGAGGCAAUAUAAGCUCAUCCAUCACCAUAUCAAUGAUUCAGAAGAAAGUUUCACUCUUUUUCCCUUCGCUUUGGUUUUGUCCCACUGGGUUUUCCAAGCAAGGUUUUUAAUGAGGAAACAAUGUCAUUGUAUGGUGGACAUCCAAAGGGGAGUGUUGUAAAUGCAUGAGUUGGUGGAUGACCACCAUACCUCUUAAUAUUCCACCGUUGGAUUUUAUGUAACCUAUGCACUAAGUAUUUGUAAUUAAUGCUUGUAACCUAUAGGUAUAUUGUAAAUGAUGGUAUUCAAUCUCCUAUCUUGUAAGCCUAUAAAUAGGUGGUUUUACUAAAGAUUUAGUGGGAAUAAACAUGAUGAAACUUUGUCUUUAGCAUAUCACUUCUCUCUACAUUUUCUCCCUCUAGUUUUAUAACAAAAAAGUAUAUAUUGAUAAUUUCUCAUUUAAUUAAUAAUUUUAAGUCUUAAUAUUUAUAGUAACUAAGGGUAUUUUCUGGUAUUUUGACUGUUUCACCGUUAUAUAUAUAGAUGACAUACCCAUUUUUUUAUCUGAAUAAUAGCAGUGCAUUAGGUAAAAAUUCACGAACAGAGAGGCUUGUAUACUUUGAAUUAAUUAACAUUUGGAUUGAGCCUAUUAUCAUGGAAACAAAGUAUAAAAUCCUACAACUGUGGAAACAAAUUCCAGUCUACUUUAUUAACUCAAGUGGAAAUUUGUAGGUCGUAUAUUAAAUAAUUUAGAGAUUUUUUAUUGAUGGAAAUUUUAGGGAUUGAAAACGAACAUUAAAGGGAGUGCCCAAAUAAAAAGAGACGAGGAGCUAUUGAUAUGCUAGAAAUAGGGAGUAUUAAUUACAAAUUAGGGAGAGUUAAUGACACACUUAAAAAUAAUUAUAAUAAAAUAUGCAGAUACAUGGCAUAUGUUGUAAUUAAUUUAUAAUACUCGGACAUAUUUGUCAUAUAAUAUAGGUUUUGCAAUAUGUAUUUAAGUUAAGGAUUGGUUACAUAUUUCUUAGUUCGGCCGUUGGAUUGCAUUCAUGAUGUAGAACAGAUGGCAGAUUUUAUCGCGGUUGAGCUAGAAAAAGGACGUAGUGGGAAUAUACAGUUUUGUCGUCCAAGCUCCGAUUAGGACGCAAAAUACCAUUUUGGAAAGGGAACGACGCCACGAGUGUAACACACAGCUUGGCUGUGACAUAUGAUGGAUUUUGGCAUUCUGAGGUCGUUUGGCCUUCCAAAACUGCAGUUAAAGUUUGGUAGUUAAUUUUCCAAUAAAUUCUAUUUUGGACAGUUUAGGAGUUACGUUAUUAAGACUCCAAAUUAAUCCUGUUUUUCAGUUUUAUGUAAUAACUCCCCUAGUAGUUGAAGGGUUGAGGGUUGUUGAGAAUUGUGUAUUUAGACAGGUUUGUCUAACGUUUCUAGCAACUCAGUUUUUAAUAACAUUAUUCCAAGAGAGCUUCUCUUAAUUUUCUGGUGGAAUCCAGUUUUUAUUGUUACUCAAGGUUUCGCUUGAAACCUUUGUUGCUUGUGCUGCGUCAAUUCAUUAGAUGUAUUAGUAGAUUAAAUAUGUAACAUACAUGCAAUAUUAUCCAAAUAUAUAAUCAAUCCUUCACAUAAAAUACUUAUUCGAGAAUCUCCCCUAUCUUACAUUGCAACAUAUUUUAAAUUUGGGUUUUAAGUAAAAUUUUAAAAAUAGAUGAGUUAAUAUCUAGGAUCCAGGAGUUGCAAGGUCCUAUAUCUGAGGAACCCUUUUUUGUUUCUUCACAGAAUGAUUAUAUUCAUUCUUGAUGAAGAUAGAAUUAACUAAAAAAGUAGUUGCAAUUAUUAAUGUAGGUAACGCGCCUAACAUGUGGAGGCUUCAUCCUUGGAUUGCGGGUAAACCACACAAUAUGUGAAUGUGACGCAGUAGGGUUGGCCCAAUUCUUGAACGCAAUUGGGGAGAUGGCCAAAGGAGCAGAUUCACCAUCAAUUCCACCACUGUGGGCACAAGAGCUCCUCAAUGCCAUAGAUCCACCGACAAUUACACUUCCGCAUUACGAAUAUGAGCAAUUGCUUGAUUCACAAGGCUCCUUCAUUAUAGACCAAUCAGACAUGGCCCAACGAUCCUUUUAUUUCGGUCCACAGCAGAUUACAGCCCUCAGGAAACAUCUUCCACCCCACCUUUCCACUUGCUCCUCAUUUGAGCUCAUAACAGCCUGCAUCUGGAAGUGUCGAACGCUUUCACUGAGACUGAAUCCAAAAGACACUGUUCGCCUUUCCUGCAUCAUCAACGCCCGCGGGAAGCGCAUGGAUGACCUAUGUCUCCCCUUGGGAUUCUACGGCAAUGCAUUGGGUGUCCCGACUAUCGUUUCAACGGUAGAACUUGUGUGUGCAAGUCCACUGGGAUAUGGUGUGGAGUUGGUGAGGAAGAACAAAGCUCAGAUGGGUAAAGAAUACAUGCAAUCACUGGCCCAUUUUUUGGUGAUCAGAGGACGGCCUCCGCCUCCAAUGGCUUGGAAUGUGUUUAUAGUUUCUGAUAAUAGACACACUGGUUUGGGAGAGUUUGAUGUUGGGUGGGGAAGACCAGUAUAUGCUGGACUUGCGAGGGCAGUCCAUGUGAUCAGCUUCUAUGUCCGAGAAAACAACCAAGAAGAGGAAUUUAGAAUUUUGGUGCCCAUAUGCUUGCCAAGAAUGUGUUUGGAGAGGUUUGAGCAGGAGCUCAAGAGGAUGAUAUUGGAGCACGUCGAUGAUGUAUCUAAAUAAGACGCAAGGAUUAUGUGUGUGUGAUUAAGUCUAGUUGUCUUGUGUUGUGUGGGCUAUCAUUUCUAUGGUAGAGUGGGUUUGUUUUCCUCUAUAUGCCUCUUUGCAUUUGGAGUCAGUUUUUUGUUUUUUUGUUUUUUUUGUUUUAAGAAAAUUUCGCAUCAGUCCAAUUCUAAUAAAAGACCAGCAUCCUUUGUAACCUGUUGGCUUGGAAUUACAUUCAAAGCUCAACAGGUCUUGGGUUCGACUGGUAUCGGAUCGAUGUCAAAAUAAGAGAUGUUGGGUGCAACCCACGCAUAAGUUGUUGAUCUAAGUCCUUUGACCACAUGCCUUUUUUUAUUUAUGGAUAUUCAAAUUUAAUUUUUUUUAAUUUUUUAAAAAUCAUUUUGUUGUUCCAAUUAUGCAUUAAGAAGGUAAAUUAUGAAUUUGUAGAACUGGUAAGUUAUUGAUUUGUAGGACAUUAAUUAUUAGAUUUGAUUUAAAUUUUAUUGGAUAUGAGAUUUAGAACAUAUCCUUUGAAUAGAAAUGUAAUAUACACCAGACACAUCCCUUAAAUCACAUCUCCGCUUACAAAUAACACAACACUAUGCCAAAAAUCAUAAAGAUGUCUCUUUCCCAAGUAUACCAACCUAAUUUUUUUAAUCGGAGUUCAUGGAAACUUCAUACCUUAACAAUAGGUAAGGUACCUAUGCAUACACCUCUUGUGCAGGUAACUAAACCCAUAAACCAACUUUAGUCUAGGUCUAGUGUAGGUAAUUAAACCGAAAAGCCAGCUCUUGUCCAAAUAAUUAUACGCGUAAACUGCCUUUAGUCUAGGCAAUUAAACUAAUAUAAUACCUUUGGUAUGCAUCUUUAAACUCAUACUUAAAGUAAAAAGUACCUAUCUAAAAGGUUACAGAAAAAGGGAAAAGAAACUCACAUCUCCACAACAAGUAUACUCACACCUAAGUAUAUUGAAACUCCAUAAAAAUUGCUUUGGAAAACCCAAGAAAAAAAAAAACCUGGAAGACAUCUAUGCGUGUGUAUUAUAUAUAGAGAGAGAGAGAGAGAUUCAAUUAAAAUCACUUGAAUCCUAUAUGAUUUGACCAUUCAAUUAAAUUAUUGAAAUUUGAGGAUUUCUUGAAGCAUCGUGUUCAUUGAUUUUGUUGGUCUCAAUCAGAUGCCUUAAUGAUUUUCAAAUUAUCUGAAUUUUUGCAAGAAUGAUCUAUGAAUUUUUUUUUCUUGCAUUGUAGGUUUUUCAUGGAGUAAUCUUGUUCGUUUAUGUCAGUCUUGAAGUUGGAUCAUCUGCUGUACUUUGGAUUUAACAUCUUUGGUGGUGUUCGUUUUGCAGUCAUGGAACUUCACAUUCAAGUGAUCAUGUUUGUAGUACUCCAACUUCUCAUUCAAUAACAUCAGAGCGUUCUAGUAUUCUCUUGAAAUGUAUUUUGAAAUGUAUAGGAUAGCAGGUGGGGUUAAAUUUGAAGAGUACUAAGAGCAUCUCCAACAGAGUUGCUAUACUCUGAUUCUUAACCAUUUUGGCUAGAAUGAGGGAAAAACGCAACUUCAGUAGAUUUGCUAUUAAGCUCUCUAUUGUGGACAACUCUCUAUUUGAGUUUGGUGGCUCUCUACAUAUAGAGAGGAGGAGAGAGAAAUUGAGGGUCCAUAGAAGUAAUUUUACAAAGGCAUUAAUUUGUAUUUAAAAUUUUAAAAAUAAAAUGAGUAGGAAAAUAGGAUAGGAAAUGGAAAUAAUAGCACUUAAUGAAAAAGGAAUGAAGAACGUGAAUCAUUCAAAAUGCAUGAGAAAUUGAAGAAUAAUUUGAAUCACUAAUCGAAACCACAUUCACACGCGGUGGCAUCCGUAAGACCAAUAAUUUUAUGGUGUCUGUUGGUCCCAAAUAAGACCAAUAAUUGUAGCAUGUCUGUUUCUAGAGGUGGCAUCCUUAAAAUGGACCACAUGUGGGUCUGCCUUCUUGAAAAGAUUGUACAAAUUAAUUAGUGAUGAGAAAAAUCGGGUGAAAUGUAUACUUUUCUCUUCAGCAAUGUGACACAAUUAAAUGUUGAAGGAUUACAGAAUUAAAAAAAUUCAUUUAACAAACAAAUUGAAAACUGAGGAAGAAAUAGGGGACUAUAGAUAUAAUCUUGUAAUAAUGGAAUUCAUUGUCUUUGAAAAUGGUGAAUCUCCAUAUUCAUGCAGGUUUUAGCUUCAAGAAGUUAGAAUAUAUGUAUUCACAGGCCUGAGUGGCUUUGGCUCUUCUUCCUUUCUCAAAUACAAAGAUGAAAAUGGGGUAUUGGUACCAAUAUGCUUGCCAUUAUCGGACAUGGAGAGAUUUCAGCAGGAGCUCGAGAGGAUGACUCUGGAGCCUCUGAAGGAUAUUUAUGACAAUAAAUCAGCUAGGAUCACGUCAAGGAUGUAAAAAAUUCAUCAAAUGUCAGAUCGCUUAGUGUAUGGUGUCAAUGAAUUUUGGAAUGUAACAUAAGAACUAGAUGCAAGGUUUGUGUCAACAUAAAAAUAAAUUGCAAUCUAAUUGGCAAUGUGCUGUAAUUCGGGGAAAAAUAAAACAUAAUUUGGUGUUUGUGAACCAUAAUUGAAAUCCACGCGUACAAAUGAGUUCAUAUUAUAUGGGUAGACACUUACCUUCCUCAAACUAAACAUAGAAGGAUUGAAUAAUUGUGAAUGAUAUUAUACUUCUCUAAGAGGAGGAUAUAUAUACAAGUACAAGUUGACUUUUCUUACAAGGAAAAGUAAUUAGCUAAUUACAAGGAAUCCUAACUAGGUAACUAUUCGAAUUAUACAGGUAACAUGAAUUACUCCAAGAAAUCAGGGAUCACGGAAUUCCUGAAUUAUGGCUCACGCCAAUAUUACCCCUCAAGUUGGUGCAUGGAUAUCUCCUAUGCCCAACUUGUCAAGUGAUUUAUGAAAAACCUUUGCUAACACCACGUGCGUAAAGACAUCUGCCAUCUACUCUUCUGACAUUACAAUGGUAUAUUGAUUAGCUUAUCUACCAGUUUCUCCUUGAUAUAAUGCCUAUCGACUUCAACAUGCUUAGUUCUAUCAUGUUGAACUGGAUUAUUUGCUAUCUCUCUCGCAGCUUGGUUGUCACAGUAAAGCUCAAUGACUUUCUUUGGUGGAAAACAAAUUUUGGACAUGAGUAUCCUUAGCCAAUAAAGCUCGAAAACUCCAUGUCCUAUGCCCCUGUAUUUUGCCUCAGUUGAAGAUCGAGCCACUACAUUCUGCUUUUUACUUCGCCAUGUAACCAUAUUACCCCCAAUGAAAGUGAAGUAACCUGAUGUAGAACGUUUAUCUGUUAUAUUACUUGCCCAAUCUGCAUUUGUAUAACCCUUGACAUCCAAAUGUCCUAGUUUUCUGAAUAUCAAACCUCGGCCUGGUGCUUUCUUCAAAUAACUGAAAAUCCUCAUAAUUGCUGCUAAGUGAUCCUCACUAGCAGAAUGCAUGAACUGGCUAGCAACACUAACUGCAUAUGUGAUAUCUGAUAUAGUGUGUGAAAGAUAAAUUAGUCUUCCCACUAACCUCUGGUAUCUCUCCUUGUUGGUUGGCACUUUGAUCAUGAUAGAUUGCUAGUUGAUGAUUCCGCACAAUAGGGGUUUCGGCUGAUGCACAUCCUAACAUACCAGUUUCUGUUAAUAGGUUUAGAACAUACUUCCUUUGAAAGAGACAAAUACUAGUAGUAGAGCGAGUUACUUCGAUUCCCAAAAUACUUCAAAGCCCCCAAGUCCUUCAUCUCAAACUCUAAGGCUAAGUACUUCUGUAAUUUACCUAUUUCAACAAUAUCAUCAUCAGUAACUACUAUAUCAUUGAAUAUGUUAUCAACAAACUAAUCUUACCAUCCCUACGUUUGAUCAAUAAGGUAUGAUUUGAGUUACCUUGAUGAUAUCCAUACUUCUUCAUUGCUUCAGUGAACCACCCAAACCAUGCUCGCGGAAACUGCUUCAAUCCAUAAAGGGCCUUUUAAAGCCUACACACCUUCCAACUAUUAUUAGACAACCUAUAGCUAGGUGGCAUGUCUAUGUACACUUCUUCUUCUAGAUGUCCAUGAAGAAAGGCAUUCUUCACAUUGAAUUACUUGAGAGGCCAAUCUAAAUUAGCUGCUAAGGACAAUAGAACUCGCACCAUAUUUAUUUUUACCACCGGUGCAAACGUAUCCUGAUAAUCGACUCUAUAUGUAUGCGUAAACCCUUUGGCCAUAAGUCUUGUUUUAUAUCUAUCUAUCGUGUCAUCAGCUUCGUGUUUAACUGUAUACACCCAUCGACAUCUAACAAGUUUCUUUCCUUCAGGUUGCAGAACUAUCUCGCGUGUUCUAUUCUUCUGUAAGGCCUCCAUCUCCAUAUUCAUUACUUCCACCUAUUUUGGGUCUUGCAAAGCUUCUUCCAUUCUAUUAGGAAUUUGAAUUCCUUCCAUCUGAUUGAAAAUUGUUUUAGCGUGAGGAGACAAUCUGUGUGUGGAGACAUAAUCAACAAUGGCAUAUUUCACCUUGCCUUCUGGUGAGAACUUGUGUGGUGGUAUUCCUUUGUUUGCUCAUGAAGGUAAUUUUUCACAAUUUGAACAGUAUUUUAAGAAGCAUUGGGAUAUGAAGGACUUACCUCAUGGAUGUUCAAUGGAGCAUGUGCAAGUAUGUUAGAGAGAGGGGGGUUGUUGUUGUCCAAUUCGAGAUCGCUGAUAUCCAGUUUGGCUCGGCUGUUUAGCUUGGCUCGGCUGGACUGGUCAGUAGCCUGAUUCUAGUAGCUGCUUGGCUAGACUUAUGUGCUUUCCGUAUUAUAUUAUCCCCUUGAAAGACAUGAUUGGGCAUGUCUGACACAAAAAACAUACUUAUUAAAACAAAAAGAGAGAAUCCAUACUUAAAAGCAAGUACAAAAUAAGUGAUGGAAAACAAGGAAAUAUAUAUAUACACACACACAGACGAUCCACAUUUUGUAAACCUACGGUUGUCCACUUUGUAACUUAUUUUUUUGUAGAAGAGGUGGAUUUGAUUCGUGCAAUUCCAAUUAGCACUAGAAAGCUAUUGGAUUCAUUGAUUAAAAAUGGCAGUUUAGUACAAAGUGCUUAACACGUUGCAAGAGCGUUGAGAGCAACCAAUGGUACUGCUUCUUCUUCUGCAUCUCCAUAUUCCCAUAUUUGGGAUACUUUUUGGGGGGCCCACACCUCUGCCAAGGUGAAAGUAAUCUAGCAGCAUGUAAGCUUUUACUUGCAUAUACAUAUAUAUUGGCAAAUUUGUGGAUAACCGUAGUUUAACAAAAGAACAGAGAGAGAAGGAGGAGAAAUCACGCAGAAGAGAAGAGAAAGAAGAUCAGGAUCGAGUCUAGGCGACUGAUACCAUGUUAACAGUAUAAGGAAGAAGAAUUGAGGCUAAAGGAAGAAGAUGAAUAUUGAAGAAGAACUCUUUUAUUUUCAAUCGUAUGAACAAUUACAGAGAGAUUGUGUUUUAUAUCAGAUCUUUAGCCUAUAACUAAUGCUUAACAGACUAACUAAUUACAGCUGUGACAUGUGAGCCACACGUGCCAACACUAACAAACUCUUAGCUAACUAUUACUGUUAUCACACAUCAGCAUUUUUAACAGGAUUUUUGACGGACUUGACAGUACUGGGAAUAGUGAAACACAAAACAUCGGUUAAGGGAGUAAAGUAGGUCACUUUAAGUUUUAUGGUGUAAUGCGAGAUUUUAUCAUAGUUUCAGCUUCAGGGAUACUGUAAUAAUUAAGAAAAAGGAAUGAAGAACGUGAACCAUUUAAAACGCAUUAGAAAUUGAAGAAUAAUAAGAUUCAUGAAUGGGAAGAAUUAUUAACUCAAGCCCACCAUGUCAAGACAGAACGAACCUUUUACAUGCGUUGUCCUCCUCAUGUUGUGUAUGUGUUGUACCUGUUGCUAAUUGAACUGUGAAGUGUUCAUCUUAUCCACAUAUACGUUAACAAAUAUGAACCCGCAAAUUUUGAACCGUCAGUAAUAAUCAGAGCUUAUAAUAUAAACCAAGUAUUUGUAGUGUAGGACCUUAUAUAUUUGGUGUAAAAUAUAACCUGUAGUGUAGGACAUGAUCCAACGGCCUCAGAGCCUUGAGGUGUGGCUGGGAGGUGGAGGUUGACAAGGUGGUGGGUGGUUGUUGGAGAGAGAGCAGAUAGAAUGGUGGUGGCGGCUGGGAUUGGAUUGGAUGGUGUUGUCUUGUUUUUUUUAAUUUCUUUUUAUUUUGAGGAUCUCAUUUUUAUUUAUGUAGUUUUUAUAUAUUUAUUUUUAAAAUUGAAUUCAAUUAUUUAUAUAUUAGUUUUUUGAAUUUUUUUAACCAUAAAUUAACGGAUUGGACCACAUUGCCUAACAGUACUAAACACAAUGACUAAUAAAUUGGCCAAAUUGUAAACAUGGAGACUAAAUUGGCCAACACUUUAAGACACAGAGACCAUCUUGACAUUUAAGUCUAAAAUAUAUCUGACUCUUCAUUAUAACCAUUAAUAAAGAACAUAAGAGGGUUUAGAACACCCAACUUUUAAUGCUUUUGAAAUUGAUUUUGGAUUUUUUUUUAUAAAAAUAAGCGAUAGUUUAGUAGAAUGGAAACAAUGUUACAAAGAAAUGAAUUUGUCUUUAAAAUUUUGAAGAUAAGGUGGGUGAGAAACUAGAGUGUACAUAGCAACACUCAAUGAAAAAGGAAUGAAGAACGUGAUGCUAAAAUAUGAAAACUAUGAGAGAAUAUUUGUUUCUGAGAAUUUUCUGUGUAUUCUUCUCCUUGUAAGAGGUCAUAUUUAUAAUACAACGAAACCUGAAUGGGCAAGUAAAUAAUAAAUUCCUAAAUCUAUUUACAGUAGGAAAUCAGGAAUUAAAGUAAAUCAAUUACAAUUAUAAUAGGAAUUCUUGGUGUGUAAGGAAAGUAAGUCAAUAUCCACAAGUCACGCCAACACUCCCCCUCACGUUGGUGCAUAGAUGUCGCCAAUGCCCAACUGAUCUAGUGAAUUGUGAAAUGCUUUACUGGAAAUUGCCUUUGUCAAAAUAUCCGCUAAUUGAUCCUCGGAUUUCACAAAAGGAAACUAAAACACUUUAGCCUCAAGAUUCUGUUUGAUGAAGUGUCGAUCCACCUCAACAUGUUUAGUACGAUCAUGUUGAACCGGAUUCUGUGUAAUGGCUAUAGCAACCUUGUUGUCACAAAAGAGAUUCAUUGUAGAUGUAGGUUUAUACCCAAGUUCAGUAAGCAACUUUCUUAACCAAAGAAGUUCACAAAUCCCUUUAGUCAUGCCUCUGAACUCGGCUUCUGCACUGGAUAAAGCUACUACAUUCUGUUUCUUGCUUCUCCUUGUCACCAAAUUACCUCCCACGAAUGUGAAGUAACCUGAUGUGAAUUUUCUAUCUGUUACAUUACCUGCCCAAUCUGCAUCUGAAUAACCAUCGAUAUUUAGAUGACCAUGCUUUGAGAACAUAAGUCCUUUUCUAGGUGCAGACUUCAAAUAUCUAAGUAUCCGAAGAACUGCAUUCAUGUGGUCUUCGCUUGGAGAGUGCAUAAAUUGACUAACAAAGCUCACUGCAUAAGCAAUGUCUGGUCGAGUAUGUGACAAAUAGAUCAAUCUUCCCACUAACCUUUGGUAUCUUUCUUUGUUAGUUGGAACUUGAUCCGGAUAUUCUCCAAGAUGAUGAUUCUGAACAAUAAGAGUGUCCGCAGGUUUACAAUCUAGCAUUCUUGUGUCUGUCAACAAGUCUAAGACAUAUUUCCUUUGAGAGAGAAAUAUGCUUUGCUGCAAUCGAGCCACCUCAAUUCUCAAGAAAUACUUGAGUCCACCUAGAUCCUUCAUCUCAAACUCCGUAGCCAAAUAGUCUUGUAGCUGUGAUAUUUCUUGUUUAUCAUUCCCAGUAAUAAUCAUAUCAUCAACAUAGAUUAUUAAUAUUGUUACCUUCCCUUUUCGAUGUUUCAAGAACAGAGUAUGAUCUGAGUUGCACUGUUUGAAACCAUUGUUCUUCAUUGCCAUGGUGAACCGUCCAAACCAUGCACGUGGUGACUGUUUCAAUCCAUACAAUGCUUUUCGUAACCUGCAAACUAUUCCAGUCUGAGUAGUAUUAUAUCCACGAGGAAUGUCCAUGUACACCUCCUCCGUGAGUUCGCCAUGUAGAAAAGCUUUCUUUACAUCAAAUUGGUGUAGUGGCCAAUCCAAAUUAGCUGCAAGGGACAAUAAGACUCUGACGGUGUUUAACUUUUCAACUGGAGCAAAGGUUUCUUCAUAGUCUAUACCAUAGGUCUGUGUGUACACUUUUGCCACAAGUCUUGCCUUGUAUCACUCGAUAAAUCCAUCUGCAUUGUGUUUUAUAGUAAACACCCAUCUAUACCCGAUAGUCUUUUUUCCUCAGGGUAUAGUCUUCAAUGUCCAAGUCUGAUUUUUCUCAAGGGCUUUCAUCUCCUCUUUUAUAGUUUGGACCCACUUAGGAUCUUUCAAUGCUUCAGAGACCUUGGUUGGAAUAUGGAUAGCAGACAACUGAUGCACAAAAGCCUUGAGUGGUUCAGACAGCUUCUUAGUGGAUACAUGAUUUGCAAUUGGAUACUUGGAUGUCUUGCCAAUAUCAGGUGAAUAACGGUUUCCUGGCUUCCCACGAUUUUGCCUGAAAGGUAAUUGAUAUCCAAUAGUUUUAUCAUCUAAAUGCACAAGUCUAGUAGAAGUAGUUACCUCAAGGAUAUUCUCAGGAGAUUGGUCUGUUGGUACUGUUGAGUUAGAGGAGGGGUAUUCAUCUUGUUGUUCUGUAUUGUAUGUAGGUGUGAGACUCGGAUCAGAAAUAUCUUCGCAUGGAUCAGGUGGGUCAGGCAAUUGAUCUCUAUGAGUGGGCAAUUGGUCGCUUUUCGACAGAGAGUAAUCUCGUGCUCCAGACUCAGGAUGAUCAAUCAUUUCCGUACAGAGGAGAAUUUCUUUAUUUUCCAAGUUGCUCCAAUUCUGCUCGUCACUUCGUAUCUCCCCCUGAAGCGUAGAAUUGGAUGAUGGGUCAUGGAAGAACAGCUCAGAUUCCAGAAAGUUCACAUCCAAAGUGAAAUAGGUUUGUUGGGUAUAAGGGUGAUAACAGCGGUAGCCUUUCUAAUGAGUAGCAUAACCCACAAAAACACAACGAAGCUCACAUGGAUCAAGUUUGCUACGUUGAUUUUUGUGGAGAUGAACGAAAGCCACACAUCCAAAGAUUCGGGGUGUGAGUACCAAAACAGAAGGCAGAGGUCUGUGUUGUGCAAGCACCUGUAAGGGAGUUUUAAAAGUCAGUACACCAGAAGGCAUGCGGUUGAUCAGAUGAGCUGCGUUGACAAUAGCAUCAUCCCAAUGAUGGCGAGGAACAUAAGCGCCAAUCAGAAGUGCUUGGGCGGUUUCAAGAAGAUGUCGAUUCUUUCGUUCAGCAACACCAUUUUAUUGCAGUGUCUGAGGACAAGUCGUCUCAUGGAUAAUUCCAUGUUGUUGGAAGUAAGUCUGAAAGUCAUGAUUGACAAAUUCUCCACCAUUGUCUGAGCGAAGAAUCUGGAUUUGAGCAUUAAACUGAAUUUUCAUAUAUUUGUAGAAGGACUGAAAACAGGAAAACACUUCAUUUUUAUUCUUCAGUAAAUAAAGCCAUGUCAUCCGUGUACAAUCAUCGAUGAAUGUGACAAACCAUCGAACACCAGAAUGAGCAGUGAUAGGAGAAGGUCCCCAGACAUCAGAGUGAAUUAAAGUAAAUGGAGUAGUACACUUGUUCGUACUCAACGGGUAGGGCACACGGUGACUCUUGGCCAAAAUACAAGUAUCACAUGUGAAGUCGGAGUCAUUGAAACCUGAGAAUAAAUCUGGUAUAAGAUGCUUCAUAUAACUAAAAGACGGAUGUCCCAAUCGACUGUGCCACAACCAGAUUUACUUUUGUUUGCUAUUAAAGGGAUGUGUCGCACUGUUAGCCACGCCGGGACUGAAGUCAUCGACAUAAUAUAGCCCCCCUCUCUUAAUACCACGACCAAGAAUCUCCUUAGUGCGAAUAUCCUGAAGUAAACAAAAACCCGGGUAAAUAAGUACACAACAAUUCAAUUGUUCAGUAAGCUGACUAACUGACAACAAUUUAGUGGAUAAAGAUGGAACAAGUAAAGUAUUAGACAGUGUGAGAGAGGAUGAGAGUGUAACAAUGCCAGCCCCUAUCACAGGAUAAGUAACACCAUUGGCAUUUGCAAUACAGGUUCGUCGAGGUUGUGUAGUAUUCAAAAAAAUCAUCAAGAUCAAACGUCAUAUGAUCAGUUGCACCAGAAUCAAUUAUCCAGCUCCUGGAAUCAAUCUUAUCAGAAGUAUAGAAUCCAUAACCAGUACCAUUACUGGUCAUAUUGCAUUGUCCUCAAUCUGUAAUAGUAGCCCACCAAUUGGGGUAGCCAUGCGAUUUAAAACAAGUCUCACAAGUGUGUCUCGGAUUACCACAAUAUGCGUAAUCUGGUCCAUGUGUCGGGGUCGUUAGUCUAGAAGUCAUAAUCUGGGCAGCGGAAGAUGUAUAGGAUACAUGUUGAGUAGGAAUUUGGAUCGGAAUCUGAGCCUGAGUCGGGGCCGGAGUCGGAGUCGAAAUCGGGAUCAGGGUCUGAAUCAGAGACAAAUUCGGGGUUGGGGUCAUCAUCGGAGUGGGGGUCGGGGUCGGGGUCGGGGUAGUCAAAAGAGGAUCCUGAUUCUGGAUCGAGUUCGGGGUCAAAGUCUGCAUCUGUAGGAGCGAAGCUAUCUGGACACUAAACUGAACGAUGGUUGGUUGAGAAUGAGAGAAGGAGUCGGUGGUGCUACCUCCAUCAGGGUUGAAAAAAUCAGCAACCCCCAUAGCAGCGGCGGGGGUUUGAAACUAGAGUCAGCAAUUCCAAGAUCGCCGCUCUGAUACCAUGCUAAAAUAUGAAAACUAUGAGAGAAUAUUUGUUUGUGGGAAUUUUUUGUGUAUUCUUCUCCUUGUAGGAGGCCAUAUUUAUAAUACAACGAAACCUGAAUAGGCAAGUAAAUAAUAAAUUCCUAAAUCUAUUUACAGUAGGAAAUCAUGAAUUAAAGUAAAUCAAUUACAAUUAUAAUAGGAAUUCUUGGUGUGUAAGGGAAGUAAGUCAAUAUCUACAAGUCACGCCAACACGUGAAUCAUUCAAAACGCAUGAGAAAUUGAAGAAUAAUUUGAAUCACUAAUAAUCCAAAUCUUUUCCAUGCGUGGUCCUUAUGCUUUAUAUCCGUGGCACCGUCUAUCAAUUUGACUGGAUUGUGUGAAAUGGAAAAGAAAAGUGGCACAAGUAACCUUUUGUGGCACCGUCUAUCAAUUGAUGUCAAGCCCCAGAAGCUCAAACACGUCUAUAAAUAUAUACCUGUCUAUCAUAAGUGUAGUACUUGUGCUUUUAUUUUAAAGUUUACAAAAUUUUCUUUGGUAGGUUUUCAAGCCCACUCACUUGUGCAAUGAUUUCCCCAUCCGCCCUCCUAUUUCAGGUGAACCGUUUGAAGCCAGAACUUAUAACACCGGCGAAGCCAACACCUCAUGAAACAAAGCCAGAACUGAAUUUACCACUUAUUUGUAUCUUUAAAAAUAAAAAUAAAAAUAUUAAAAAAACAUAAAAAGGAAAAAGGAAAAUUAAUUUCCCAGCAACCAGCAGGUUGAACGACGAAGGCCCUUCCACCACCUUACUGCUAUGGAAAUCUGUCACUGCCAAGUUCCUCAAAGACUUAUUGGCUUAUUGGCCUCCGUAUGAAGCCUAUAUUGCCAUAGAGGAUUCAGUGUAUUCAUCAAUACCAUAAACCCACCUCCUUUUAGAUCCUCAAUCUAUUUCAUUGAAACCUACAUUGAUGGAGAGAGAAGAUCAACCAUGGCAAUUAUUAUGUCUACGAGAUGAUGACUCUGAAGCCUCCUUUUAAUGUUCAAGGUUGUGUUGCGAAGGUGUGGGGAAGGGCAGAGCGAAUUAGGGGCUAAUAGAUGGGGAGUUGGGGUUAGGAGAUACCAUGUAAGGGCUGAGAACAAUGUGCAGAGAGAGGGAGACAAGAAAAACAAUUUAAACAUUAAAAUUUUUUAAAGAAAAUAUUUCAUUUAUUAUUUUUUCACAUCUGGCCCUUGCGUGGCAUAUAUUUCAGCAAAGAAAUGGGUCGCAUUGAUGCCACAUCAGCAUUUUUAACUGGAUUUUUGACGGACUUGACAGUGCUGAGAAAAGUGAAAUACAAAACAUUGGUUAAAGGAGUAAAGUAGGUCCCUUUAAAUUUCAUGGUGUAAUGCGAGAUUUUAUCAUAGUUUCAGCUUCAGGGACACUAUAGUAAUUAAGAAAAAUGAAUGAAGAACAUGAACCAUUUAAAACGCAUGAGAAAUUGAAGAAUAAUAAGAUUCAUGAAUGGGAAUAAUUAUUAACUCGAGCCCACCAUGUCAAGACAGAACGAACAUUUUACAUGCGCUGUCCUCCUCAUGUUUUGUAUGUGUUGUACCUGUUGCUAAUUGAACUGUGAAGUGUUCAUCUUAUACACAUAUACGUUAACAAAUAUGAGGACGACAUAUACCCGCAAAUUUUGAACUGUCAGCAAUGUGGUCCAACCCGUUAAAUUCACGGUUUAACAAACAUUAUCCACUUUUUUUUGUCUUUUAAAAACAUAAAAACUUUUAUUAAAAUUAAUAAAAAUAUUUGAAUUAAUUUAAAAAUAUUAACUUACUCUUAGGGCCAGUUUGGCAUUGCUGUGCUGUGAAAAUAAUCGCUGUCAGAUUUGCUGUGAGAGAAAUCAGCUGUGAGAAAAAGCAGUUUGGCGUUUGGUAAAAUUUUGUUAAAAGUAUUGUUGGUAUUGAUUUUAUGCAUAAUCAAAAAAUGAUUGCCGCAUAAUCAUUAAACCCAGCGCCUCUUCAAAACUGAUUCCUGCAUAAUCAAAAAAUGAAAGCAGCUAAUUAGCUGCUUUCCCUUAUAGCUUUCUCUCACAGCAAUUUUUAACAAUAAGUGAUUUUCUCACAGUUUACCAAAUGGGUUGGGCUUCUCAAAAUUUUUAAAAAAAUCACUUAUUACCCCAAAUAAGCAAUGCCAAACGGGCACUUAAUUUCGGGCUGAUUGAUGAAGUCCUUCUAUAACUACAAAUAUUUUAAAAGAUUACAUAAUUUUCAGUUCAAAAAACGAACUUAACAUUGUUUCUCUUUGACAAAUUGGAAGCUUUAGCACAGAGCUAUUUCUGGUUCACAAUGACAGAACAUGAUCCAACGGCUUCGGAGCCUUGAGGUGUGGCUGGGAGGUGGAGUUUGACAGGGUGGUGGGUGGUUGUUGGAGAGAGAGAGAGAAGAUAGAAUGGUGGCGGCGGCUGGGAUUGGAUGGUGUUGUCUUGUUUUUUUAUUUCUUUUUAUUUUGUGGAUCUCAUUUUUAUUUAUGUAGUUCUUAGUUUUUAUUUUUAAAAUUGAAUUCAAUUAUUUAUAUUAGUUUUUUGAAAGUUUUUUAACCGUAGAUUAACAGAUUGGACUACAUUGCCUAACAGUUUUAAACACAAUAACUAAUAAAUUGGCCAAAUUGAAAACACAGAGACUAAAUUGGCCAACACUGUAAGACACAGGGACCAUCUUGACAUUUAAGCCUAAAAUAUAUCUAACUCUUCAUUAUAACCAUUAAUAAAGAACAUAAGAGGGUUUAGAACACCCAACUUUUAAUGCUUUUGAGAAGAAAAUUGAUUUUGGAUUUUUUUUUAAAAAAGCAAUCUUUAAAAUUCUCAAGAUAAGGUGACUGAGGAAAUGAAUUACGAGUGUAAAUAGCAGCACUCAAUUAAUGAAAAAGGAAUGAAGAACGUGAAUCAUUCAAAACGCAUGAGAAAUUGAAGAAUAAUUUGAAUCACUAAUAAUCCAAAUCUUUUCCAUGCGUGGUCCUUAUUUUUUAUAUUUGUGGCAUGGAAAAGAAUUUGAAUCACUAUCAAUUUGACUGGAUUGUGUGAAAUGGAAAAGAAAAGUGGCACUAGUAUAGUAACCUUUUGUGGCACCGUCUAUCAAUUGAUGUCAAGCCACAGAACCACAAACACGUCUAUAAAUACUUACCGGUCUAUCAUAAGUGUAGUACUUGUGCUUUUAUUUUAAAGUUUUCAAAAUUUUCUUUGGUAGGUUUUCAAGCCCACUCACUUGUGCAAUGAUUUCCCCAUCCGCCCUCCUAUUUCAGGUGAACCGUUUGAAGGCAGAACUUAUAACACCGGCGAAGCCAACACCUCAUGAGACAAAGCUACUCUCUAAUAUUGAUGACCAGGAAAGCCUUAGGUUUCAGGUUUCAGUCAUAAUGUCUUACAAGAACAAUCCUUCAAUGAAAGGAAACGAUGCCGUUGAGGUGAUCAGGGAAGCAUUGAGUCGGGCACUCGUGUAUUACUACCCUUUGGCUGGCAGGCUCAGGGAAGGACCUAAUAGGAAGCUUAUGGUGGAGUGCAA
This 50716-nucleotide long non-coding RNA is filed under the name Prunus persica (peach). RNAcentral describes it as "long non-coding RNA (PPER_LNC005065)". Lineage: Eukaryota; Viridiplantae; Streptophyta; Magnoliopsida; Rosales; Rosaceae. The record is from RNAcentral.